Molecule: long non-coding RNA, 51831 nt
Filed under: Trifolium pratense (red clover)
Lineage: Eukaryota; Viridiplantae; Streptophyta; Magnoliopsida; Fabales; Fabaceae
Description: long non-coding RNA (TPRA_LNC000249)
Rfam family: Bacterial large subunit ribosomal RNA (bases 7218-7358)
Source: RNAcentral
AAAAAAAAAAGUAAUAUUUUGUUACCUCAAAUAUAUUAGAAUCUCAAUUACAAAUUAUUAAACAAAGUGACAUCGACCAUUUUACAAGUGUUUCGGGUAGAAUUUAAACAAUAUAUUUGAGGCAAAUAAAGUUAAACUCUUACCACCAAACUGAGAAGUUACUGAAACAACAAUCCAAAAGAGAAGGGAGAAGAAAUACAAAACAAUAACAUUAAAUACAAUGCAAAAGCAAAUUUAGAUAGUAGAAGCCUUGGUGAGAGAGGUAAUGGUAAUAGAAACACCAACAGCAGCAGCUUUAGUCUCAAAAGUAAAAGUAUCAUAGCGCAAGAAAAACUCCACCAAAAACAAUCUACACAAAAGCACAACAAGAUUUUUCCCAGGACAUUGUUUAUUAUCCACACUAGGGUUCUCCGUUUCUCUCCCAUUUGACCAUAAAACAUAUUUCAACAACUUCUCACCUUCUCCAAUAAACCUCUUUGGAACGAAAACCUCGGGAUCAUCGAAAAUCCUAGGAUCCUUAGUAGCAAAAGGUUGGAAUCCGAAUAUCGUCUCACCCUUUUUUAUUUCAAAACUUGCAUCAUGACUCUUGACAAUCAAAUCUUCUCUUGCUUUUGCAUACUGAUAAGGUACGAUGGGUUCUAUUCGCAUUGCUUCAUAAAUAACGGAUUUUACUAACGACAUUUUUUCCAAUGACUGAAUUGUUACUCCGCCUUCUUGUUUUACAAUGGUUCUUAUCUCGUUUGCGAGUUCUUUGUGUAGCUCUUCACCGGAUAAACCUAUCCAUUUGAAGAGUGUUGGAAAUUGAUUCUUUAAUCCGGCAUAUCCGUUAAAGCCGGCUAUGAAAAUGAGAUUGUGACAUGCUUCACUUCUUUUCAACCCUACUUUUUCGGCUUCGUCUAAAAUUGUUACAGCAGAAGAAGAAAAUGCUUCGUAGAGCUUCUUGUAAGAGGACCUGGCCAAACAAGUUUGUUAACACGGAUAUAAGAGAUUCGUAAAACCAACAAUUAUUAACAUUUUUAAAGAAACGUUUUGCAUCUAGUUAUCCAUAAUUAUGUAUUAUUUUCAUUAUUUUUAAAAUGCACCAUGUCUUAAUCACAAUGAUUAAAUUUUAAGAUAUUCACUUUUUUCGUAUUAACAAGUUAAAAUAAACAUACAUUUUUUAAUCAAGAUAAAAUAUAUUUUCAUUGGUCCUAUAAGUUUAAUUCAGUUAACAAAAAUAUUGCAUUAUAUAUGUAUAGGGCUGAGGUUCGAACUCCAGUCAUCUCAUUUAUCCACCUUAAGAUAUUGACAAAAAAAAGUUUAUUUUCAUUGAGUAAAAAAAACCUUAAAGAGAAUCUUAAGAAAAAUAAAAUUGAAUAUUUAUUAUCGUUAAUUACAAUGAUUAAAUUUUAAGAUACUCACUUUUUCGUAUUAACAAGUUAAAAAAAAACCUUAAAGAGAAUCUGAACCAAGGUUUUAAAUUGCGGUCCGCAUCCGCAAUUGCGGCCGCAGUAUUGCUGAUGCGGUAGCCACCGCAACCGCAUCGCACCGUAAUUGCGGUGUGAUCUUAAUUCAUGAGUACAGCCGCAUUGUAACCGCAUCACAACCGCAUCGGAAGCCGCAUCAGAUAUUUUCGGUGAUGUUCGUUCAAAUUUUCUCACAAAAAAAUAAAAUUUAUGAACUUCAAAUCCUAAUUUGUGUCAAAUUAAUGAAAAAUCUUACUUUUAACAAUCUCUCAACCGUGUAUUUUAAAUACAUUCAAAUUAUUGUUUAUGGAAUAAACUGAGACUAUGUAAUGGUGGAUAAAUAGUAUAAUUACAUAGUAAUUUCAUUUUAUAUAGCUUGUGAAAUUUCCAAAUGAUUUCACGCCGCAACAACCGCAUUGCGCGUUGCAGCAACCGCAUUCGCAACAACUGCAACCGCAACCGCAUCCGCGACCGCAACCGCAAUUUAAAACCUUGAUCUGAACCAUUCGUUAUUAAGAAAAAUAAAGAGAAUCAUUCGUUAUUUUAAUUAAAGAGAAUCUUAAGAAAAAUAAAAUUUCUCAUUAAAAUUAUAUGCUUAAGAAUUUUACCUUGUUAAACAAGCUGGAAUGGGAACUGUACGAAGCAAUAGAUCUUCAAGAUAAUUGAAAAUCUUAGGAGGUUUUAAUGUUUCAAUUGGAGCAAUUUGAAAGAGAAUCCAUGUGUCCAACAUUUUAGGACCUUGAGAACCAAGGUUAGUUUCAGAAGGAUACUUAUUAUCACAAAAGAGACUAAACAAGAAAUUAAAAGAAGCCUCACUAAAAAUAGUGUUAAAAUCAGCUUUACCACUUUUUUCAGAAAGUUCAUCUUCAAUGUUAUUAAAAGAAUCAGAAAGUAUACUCUUAAAAAGAGGGAUAAUAUUGUCUUUUCUCAACAAAAGAGCAUUAAGCAAGAGACCUUUGAUAAGAGCAUGGUUUGGUUCAGUUGUGUCUAAUUGAGACAAGAUACGGUAGCCGCCGGUGAAAUUUGUCGAUGGCAUGAAGGUACCGUCGAAGACGUUGUGUUUCUCGACUUUUUUAUUGUCGAAUAGGAUCGGGAAGGAUGCGGCGUCUAAGAGAGCUAUGACUCUAGGGUUUGAGGCAAUGAAUGGACCUGGUGGCAUGUUGGUUCUAAAGACUGUUGAAUUGUAUUUUUGAAUUCUUGUUGAGAAGAAUUUGUCUCUACCUUGGUUGUAGAAAUAGUCGUGUCGGUCGAAAAUCGGUCCAAUGAAGGGGAGGCCAUAGCUGCCUGGGAUUUGUUUUAGUGGGAGGUCUUGCUGGUGGUUGUUGGUGGUUGUGGAAGAUUGUUCUAAAGAUGUCAUUGUUAAUGAAAUUCUUGGUAUUUUGAUUGGUUAAUUUGUUUGGUUAUGGUUUAUGGCAUAGUUGUUGUUUCUUUAUAUAGAGUUGUCCUUAGUACUAGUAGUAAUUUUAUUUCAAAAUAAAAAAUAGUAGUGACAACUGACAAGUGCCCUUAUGGACCCGACUCUUAAUAUUAAGGUUGAAAAAAUAGGAAUAGGAUUUCCUGCAGUAAAUGUUUCACGCUGUUUCACGCUGUUUUAAACAAGGACCGUCCGAUCUAAUCUGAAUGGUUCAGAUUGAUUUGGACUGAUUUUGUAUAGAUUCAAUAUGAACCGACCGAUCUGAAAUGGACGGAUGAGAUCUAAAACAGCGUGUAACUUUGUGAUUUCCAACUGCAGAGAAUCUUGAUCCCUGGAUAUCCACUACCUCUUGAUAUAAUUUGAAAGGAUAUUGUCUUCCGUGGAUAUCUCACCGGAAGAAAUUAGCGUUGAUAUCGACCCUUUAAUUAUUUCUUUUUGUUAUGAUAUUGAACACUUGAAAAAAAAAAAUUAAUGGUUAAUAUUUAAUGAGAGAUAAAUAUUAAUAGAGACAAUCACUUUCCAAAUAAUUUAGAGUAUUCAUCCAAUAAUAAGAAGUAAAAGGUGGGUUACGAGCUCGUCGAUCUUUCUUACAGCUUGUCUGGAUGUGUUGCAUUUCAGUUAUAUGGCAUGAGCGGAAUAAUAGAGUUUUCAAGGCAGCAAGAUUUACAGUUCAACAAAUAUUUAAUAAAGUUAAAUUAUAUACGUUAUGGUGGUUGAAAGCCCAUAAUGUGCAUCUAGGUGUAAACACCCACAUGUGAUGGUCGAGUCCGUUUGUCUGUUUAGGUAUCGACUAAUUUAAUGUGCUCUUGAAUUUUGUAAAAUUUUGUGGCUCUUUCUGACAUACCUUGUGCUAGACAUGACUCUCUUUUGGUGUUAAUAUAUUUCAUUUUUACUAGUUAAAAAAAAAUUUGAUUAAAAGUUAAUUGUGAUAUCACAUGUAAAUCUAUUUAUAAUUUUAUUUUACUUAUUAUCUCAUUGAUUGUUGAGUAGAUAUUCAUCAUUAAGGAUAGUGUAAGUCUCACCAUUGCGACCGCAUUCAUAAAUAUACCAGGACAUGGUUUGUAAGUUUUUUUAAAAUCAGGACAUGAUACAUUCAAGAUGUGUUAAUAAAAAAAAAUUUAAUAAAAUUUCCAAUUGUUCCUUUAAAUUUUCUGUUUUCAAUUUUAAUUCCUCCAUUUUCCAAAAGUUCACAUAGCAUGUUCCAUAUGGCUAUUUUUAUAACAUGUCAAUAUUAAAACUUUAAAAUAUCAUGAUUACUUUAAUAAUUUAAUUAUUUUAUCUUUUAUUUGAAGUUAUAGAUAACAUAAGAUAAUAUAGAUUAAAAGUAAAAUAGUUAAAUUAUCAAACUAAUUAAUGAUAUUUUAAUUAAGGUCUUAUCAAUGACAUGUUAUAAAAAAAAAUCAGUUGGAACAUGUGACAUAAACUUUUAUAAAAAAAUAGAGACUAAAAUUGAAAACAAAUUUUUUUUUUUAGAAUUAAUGUCUGAAGAAAUUUUUAGAGGAACAUAACUAAAACGAAAAUUUGUAUAUUUAGAAGGAUCAAAAAUAUAUUCACCCCCAAAAUUUAUAUGCAUAUAAAAUACUUGAAACAAAUAUACAUCUACUUAAGCUAAUUAGUCAAAAGUUAAAUUUCUGACUCAGAAAUAUUUGAUUGGAUUAUUGUGAAAAAUUAACCAUUACAGAGUAUAAAAUAACUUUAGAAAUUUCGUACCACAUAACAUAAUAUAUUGAAAAAAUAUGCAUUCAUAUAAAAUUAUAAACAUCACAAUUUAUAAAAAUUAAUACCUAAUACCUAUAAUUAAAACACAAAGUAUAAAAUUUUGGUAUAAAUUAUAAUCUACUUUGAUAGAGUAUUUGCAGAGGAUUUAAUGGUCCUAUUGUUUACACUGAUUUUUGGUAAACAACCGCUAGUUUAAAUUAAUUACUUGAGAGAUCAACUAGUAAAUCUCGGAACAUAUUUGUGUGUUAUUUUCUAGAAAAAUAUGAAUGUUCAUCAUCUUUUACUUGNNNGGAACUUUAAAGGACUUGAAAGAUUAAAUUGCAUUUGAAUGUAAAUAGUGGUUGGAAUCCAUCUAUGUCCGUCCCUUGAACCCGUUUGCCACCGCGGCGUGGGUGUUGCAAGACUUUCAUAAAAUAGGAUAAGUGAGUAUAUGGUUUCAUUUUAUGCAUGUGUUGUCAUUAUGUGCAGUAGAAGUUACUAAUACAGACAGAGCACGAGGCUGUGUACCUGUGGAUGGCCUGACGUACGUUCAUAUGAAUUCAAUUACCGGUCACUUUCAAAUAUCUUUAAAUAGAUACUUUUUUUCAAUGAAUUUUAACUUAUUAUUACUAUAAUAUUAAGAUUGGCAAAUGAAAUAAUUUUCCCGUUUAAAUCAUGUCUAAGUAAUUAAAUUAAGAGAAAUUAACGUUUUCUUUAGUAUUGGUUUCAUCGGAGGCUAUAGACUAGUGGUUGUGUUUUUUGUUUAGUGGUGUUUUUCUUUACGUUUCUAUUUUUGGUUGUUGUUUAUCUGCUUGUUGGAGUAAUUAAUUAAGCAAUUGUGUUUGGUAACUUGCUUGAGCAGAUGUGUUGUAUAAAUAAUUUCCUAAUUCUAUAUGGCUCGGUCAGUCUUGUGCUUUGGAAAAGACUUUUAUCAAUUUUUUCUUUUUUGCCUAAUAUUGGCCGGUUGAAUCUUUUAGUUGUUGUGAUGCACAUUGCAGUUGUUACAGUGUGAAAUAAUAUUAAAUUUUCACAAUAGAGUCUCAAUUUGUCAUGUAAAUUAAUAUUGAAGGGGAGAUGUUUGAAAUAGACAAUUGAAAAUUUUCAUUAGAUAUAUAAUGUAAAUUCGGGUUCAUAAAUUUUAACAUUUUAUAAGAUAAUUUGAGUGAAAAUAAUUGAAAUUGUCUGAUGCAGCUAUGAUCUAACUAUUCCCGUAAGUAAAUUAAAAUCACAAAGCAAUUGCAAAAUGUGAUGCUCUUAGAUUUAUAGAAACUACUAUGAUCAAUUGUGGCUGUAAUCGUAGUUUUUUUUUAAUGAUAAAUAUAUAUAAAAUAAACAGUUACAAUACAUCAAACAUAAAAAAUAGAAAAGAGAAAAAAGAGCAUUUUGAAGUACUCAGAGAGUACUAACAAUCGAAACACCAAAAAACCGGCUACAGCCAAAAUGAAACAACCACCCACCACACGUGACUAUCAAACCUGCACCACAAACAUCUGAUCAUAGAGAGAAUAAGAAAGAAGUGAAGAAAGAUAGGAUCAGGGCAUCAGGCCACUCAUCAACCAAAGGCAACUACAACACCCACCCCCGCCAACUUCUAUCGACUCUAACAUUAGACAGGUUGUACUUCCCACUAGUAGAAGGCCGCAAUGGUGGUUGUUGCCUGCUAUUUGAAACCAUAUUAUUGGGAAGUAUCUUAUAAAAAUCUAUAUUUUGGAGUAUUUGACUUCAUAUUAUGCACGUGCUAUCAUUAUGUGGUAGAGGAUACUACUACAAAGCACGACAUUGGAUUACCCACGUACCGAUGAGAUGAUGAUUACCGGUCACUUUCAAUUAUCUUUCUUUUUUCUGGUAAUAAAACGGGGCAAUUACCACUUACCAGUCACUUUCUCAAAUAGUUUUUUUUUUUUUUUCAUUGAAUUUAAAUUUAUUAAUAUAUAAAUAUAAUUGACAAAUGAAAUAACUUUCCCGUUUAAGUCAUAUCUCUAAUUAAUUAUAUUAAGGUUAUUCAAAAUAAAUUAACCAUGUUAAGAGAAAAUAGCGUUUUGUUCCUAGUAGUUGUUGUUUUUUCUUCCUUUGGAGUGUUUGUUGUUCUUUAGUAUUGGCUUCAUUGGAGGAUGUAUAUAGACUAGUAGUGGUGCGUUUUUUAUUUAGUGAUGUUUUUCUUUACGUUUCUAUUUUUGGUUGUUAUAUACUCUGUUUUGGAGUAAUUAAGCAUAAUUAAUUGUAUCGGCCGGGUAGCUUGCAUGAGUAAUGUGUUGUAAUUUCCUAAUUCUAUAUGAGCACGUCUUUUGCUUGGAACAGUCUUUUGUCAAUAAUUAUUUUGCCUAAUAGUGGUUGGUCGAGUCUUUUAGGGCAUGCAUGUGUGCUGACUCAAAGAUAAUUUUUGGAAAAAUACAAUAAAAUAAAUAAAAUAAAGUAAGCUUCCUUAGUUUGUGUAUGGUCAAAAUAAAAAAUUGUGUAUAGUUACGAGAUAAGAUAAGGGGUUUAGUAUUGUAAUAACCAUGUUGAAAUUCCCGUAAGAAAACGAAAGACAUGUUCAAAUGGAAUAAUAUUCAUUGCAAUUUGCAGGCCGGUUGAAUAUUCAUUUACAAUUAGGUAGGUGAAAAUUUGUUAAUUAAUAUAAUCGUGGAAGAAUGAUAUAUGCGCUAUUGUCGGUGCUUAUGGAUCCGAAUCUGGGUGAUCUAAUUCAUGACCAGGAUGAGCUUAGGUGAAAUUAAGUGGAGGUCCGAACCAACUGAUAUUGAAAAACCAGCCGAUGAGUUGUGGUUAGCGGUGAAAUGCCACUCGAACCUAGAGCUAGCUGGUUCUCCCCAAAUUGCGUUGAGGCGCAGCAGUUGACUGAACAUCUAGGGGUAACUCACUGUUUUGGCGCGGGUCGCGAGAGCGGUACCAAAUCGAGUGUGUACAUUGUCAUAAUGGAUGAUGCUAAUUAGGGUGGAGGAGCUUGUGGGCUGGGCAGGGCCAUGGACCGCCCGAGAAAAUAAAGAAUUUUUUUUAUAUACUGAGAAAUGACAAAUAUACCCCUGCUUACCUUUGUUUUUUCCCUCCCAUAUCCAACUUGUCCAACACACACACGCAAACACAGAGAGAGAAAGACACAAACGCAAAAACAAAGUACGACGGACACACCGCGAUUGCACCACCAUCGAUUAUGGACCAUUUGAUUUUCAUUCUAGUAGGAGGCCGUAAAAAAAAUUAAUUUAUAAAAAUCGAAUGGUCCACGCAGGGACGGAUCUAUGGGGGGCAAGCAGGGGCUUCAACCCCCCCUCCCUGCCAAUCAUGUUAUAUUAUAUAAGUAGUAUAAUACUAGUAUAUGUGUCAUGUUAUUUAUUUGCUUAUAUGCAGUAUAAUAUACCCAGGUUUCUAUUUUAUUAGUCAUUUUGGUUUUCAAACAUAUUAUUAAGUAGUCAAUUUAGUCUUCAAAUAUAUUUUUUUAUGUCAGUUUAGUCAAUAAAUUUAAUAACAAAAGACACACUAUGAAUGUAUUUACAAUUUUAAUAUAUUUGGGAACUAUUAUGAUAGCGUCUCAUAUAUUCAGGGACCAAAUUUUUAAUUUGUUCUUUAUCGUUAUAUACUAUUUAUUACCGGAAAAAUAUUCUGGCCCCCCGUUAGGCAAAUGUCUGGAUCCGUCCCUGGGUCCACGAUUGAUUAUUAGUCACACAUUAUUCAAAUAUCUUUAACGAUGUAUGAUGUUUUGUAGUAAUGUUACUUUUUGUUUGGGUAUUUGACAAUGUAGGUACUACUUUGGGCCAUAUAUACCUUCAUUGUAGAGGGCUAUUGUUUGUACACAGAAAGAACAUUUUUAUACUCCCUUAUCUCUAUUUAUAAGAAUAUUUAGCAAUUUUUUGCUUAUAUUAAGGAAAAAAAUUAUACUUUAGUUGUAUACAAUUUGUAUAGAAGACAGCUAUUUGCACAACAAAAAAGGUCAAUAUAUGCCGACAGAUAGAGCUGUGCAAAUGGGCUAGUUCAAAUAAGCGUAGGUCGGCCUGCCAAGCCCACUAAAAUAUAUGGUCUGAACUUAUUGAACCUAAAUUAUUUUAGAGCUUUUUAGCCCAGCAUGAAAAAAUCCGUUAUAAAAACAGGCUAGCUCGUAUGGGCUACGAGUAGACCGAAGUCGGCAUUAACAUAAAAAAAAAAACUAGAAAAAGAUACAACAAUUUAUCCUAAUCGUUUCAGCUAAAAUAUGUUGUCCGUUAAUAUUUUAUUCAUGUGUAAUUAUUCCAGUUAAAAUAGGUUGUCCGCUUGACUGAAAAAACUAGAAAGAGAAAACUAUAAUUAUUUUAACUAAAAUAAUUGUUGUCCGCUUGACUUUUAUUUAUGUGUAAUUAUUUUCAAUAUAUAUACUAAAAAAAAUUUGGUGCCUUGCGCAGCCGCUCCUCGCGAACACCUUCCAAAAUCCCUUGAUCGUAGAGCUGUCAAAAAGGGUUACGCUACCGUGCCAGCCCAUUGGUUCUGUAUUUUAACAUGGGUCGGGCCUAAAAAAAGCACCGAAAAAACAACCUUAUAUUUUUGGGUUGGUCCAUCAGGGUUAUAUUUUUCAUGGGCCGGUCUAGGCUGGCCUGUCAGGCUUGCGAGCUAGCCCACUAAAUAUUAAAAACAAAAUUAGAAAAAUAGAAUACAUCCUCAAUGGAAAAUUCAAAAUUUUCCCAAAUUUUUUAAGUGUACAAUUGAGUUUUCGUAUGACAUAAUCUCUUUUUUCCUAUUAUUCCUUGUUAACAUGGGCCGAGUCUAAAAAAAACACCAAAAGAAACGACAGUAUCUUUUUGGAUCGGUCAAUCAGGCUUAUAUUUUUCAUGCGCCGGUCUAGGCGGGCCCGUCGGGCUUGUGAGCUAGCCCACUAAAUAUUAAAAAAAAAAUUGAAAAAUGGAUUGCAUCGUCAAUCGUUCUCAUUUCUCAAUGGAAAAUUCAAAAUUUUCCGUAAUUUUUAAUUGUAGAUAUGAGUUUUCGUAUGACAUAAUCGCUUUUUUCCUAUUAUUCCUUGUUGAAAAAACCUAACUUUCGUCAAAGCUUCAACAAGCUUCGUAUCUCAAGCUUCAACGUCAUAUGACUUUGAUCGAAUUUUAGAAGUUAUUGACAAGGAGUCGGAGGAUGAUGAUGAUGAUUUUGAAAUGUUAGAAUCUCCUCCAGUUGCUAAUACGAAAAAUGUUAUUUAGAGAGACUUUGAUGAAAAACAAUACUAAUUUAUAAAGAAUGGACAAAAACAUCUGUUAUAAAAUUAUGACACUCACUUAUUUGAUGGACAAUAAUUUAUGUGUUAUGUAGUUUUAUUGUCCAUUGCAUAUUUUUCUAAAAUAAAAAAGAAUAACAUGAAAAUUAGUUGGGCCGGCCCAUUAGGCCACAUAGAUCAUUACUAAUUGAGUCAGGUUCAAUUUAGCAGCACAUGAAACAAACGAGUCGACCCACUAAAACUCUUUUAUAUAUGUUAGCCCAUCGGACCGGUCCACUUGACAUCUUUACAUAUUCGUACAUCAUUUAUGAUGGACCGUUGACACCAUUUCUCGUAUACCUUUCUAUCUUGGCAAUUAUACUAAGAUGUUUUCUCUCCCCACCUCCCGUGAAUCUUUUAUACCCCCCAAUAUUCCAAUUUUGCCCUUGCAGAAAAAUUCGGUUCGCAGUAACCUAAUUUUUACUAGUGCAAUUUCAGAGUAAAUUUCGAUUUUUAGAAGCCGAAAUUUGUUUUCAAGGCAAAAAAACACUUCGGUUUCUACGAACCGAAGUUUUUUCAAGGGCAAAAUUGGAAAUUCAGGGGGGAUAAAAGAUUCACGAGGGUGGGGAGAGAAAACAUCUUAUAUUUUUAUAUGCAAUCUUUCGAAGAUUUGAUUGAAGAAUUAUUCUACCCUAGCUUGUGCGCCAAGACGCACGUGGUGUAUUAAACUUCAGGAGGCGGUUUUACAAGGUUACUUGGUCCUCAAGUAUUAUAUAAAAUUAAGGAAUCAAAGAUUUAAUUUUAUAAUAUAACCUCUGAACGUUUUCUUGGAGCAGAAGUUUAGUGGCUCAAGGCCCACGAAGUUUCUGCUAUAUAAAGGGUGCUGCUAACCCUAUUUUAAUCAUCUAAACCAUCAUUCUUACAAAGUGUGUGUGUUUUUAGGGUUUAGAGUGUUUAUUGUUAAUUGUGAGUCUUUCUUGUGUCUCCUUGAUGCAAGCAUAGGACCAGGUUUAUUGAGUUGUAACUGUGAACUGCUCCUAAGCUUUGAAGUACGAAGUUAGUUUGUGUUUGAUUCACUCGAGAGCUUUUAAGCGAGAGUGAGAUCUAGUUUCAUAGGAGGGUGUCUCCAUCAUUGGUUCUUGUUUGUAUUGAAUAACAACGCUGUCUGUGUAGUUAAAGGGAAUUGAGACGUGGUCUCAUAUCUAGGAGUUCCUAGGUAUGAUUAGCACGGGUAGUGUCUAGGAGAUAAGUCGUAAAUCGGGGUGUUUGCUGAGGGCUUUGAACUAGAGCUAUUUUUUUUUUGAACUAGAGCAAUUUUUGUUUAUUUUAGAGCUUAAUCAAAAAUCUCAAUUUUUGUCUAAUCAAAAAUCUCUAUUUUAGUCUCUUAAAUACAAAUUAAGUCAGGCUAUUUCCUUUUAAUCUAAGAUACAAUAUCCUUCUUGUUUCCAAGACCUCACAACAACCCCCUUGAUUAUAAAUUAAUAUCUUCAUAAUCCACAACCUUACCUCCUUAAGAUUUUGUUUACGAAUUGGUUUUUGGAGAGGAAAGAGGCGAACUUUUUUCUAAAAAUUAAGAACAUUAUAAAAUAGUUUUUAAAAUAAUUAAAAAUUGAUAAAUAAUCACAUAAUACUUCAAAAUAUUUUAUAAUACUCUUAAUUUAAAAAUUAAAAAUAAGUUUUCAGCUCCCUUCUAAAAACUAACUUGCAAAGAUGACGGAUUUCUCUCUGAGACAUGCUUUCUCAAUACCUUCACCUCCCAUGCUUGUUAACAAAUUAUUUUGCUCAAAAAAAUGGUCACCCCCAUGUUUUACCUCAGAUUGGGCCCUACAUGAAACUAGUAGUAUAAAAUCCACUCUAAACAAAGAUGUUUUCUCUCCCAACCCCCGUCUUUCUUUUCUACCUCCUGAAUUUCCAUUUUUGUCUUUGGGGGUACUUCGGUUUGUACGAACCGAAUUUUUUUUUGUCAUGCUAAAAAAUUUCGGUUAAUAUAAACUGAAAUAUUGUGUUACAAUUUUUUUUUUCCAGAUUUCCUGCAUAAAUUCUGCAUGAGACCCUCAACUUCCACAAUUUAUUUGAAAUACUAAACGAUGUCUGAUUUGAGUAAAAGAUCACUUGUUGGAAAGCUUAGGGUGUCAAGAAUACAAAUAUAAUUUUUUUUUAGGGUUAACUAUCCAAUUGGUUCAGUUUGACCAAAUAAUGGGUACUAGUACAUAAACAGAGCAGAAACUUUUCCCAAACGUGUAGGUAGAUUUUCUCAUACUAUACUUAAUGAAAUUUAACAAUUCCGGUGUCAAUCCUGUAGUAAAUUUUGUCUUCUUUACACUAGAUUAAAAAUCAUUAGCAUACGACAUAUAUUCAGAGAGCUAUGCUAAAUUUACCACAAGUAUCUCUACAAUAAUUUUUGCAGAAACUUUUCUCAAACUUGUAGGUAGAUUUUCUCAUACUAUACUUAAUGAAAUUUAACAAUUCCGGUGUCAAUCUUGUAGUAAAUUUUGUCUUCUUUACACUAAAUUACAAAUCAUUAGCAUAUGACUUAUAUUCAGAAAUAUAUGCUAAAUUUACCACAGGUAUAUCUCUACGCCAAUUUUCACAUAAAUCUUUCUUCUUCUCUUAACAUUUAUGUUAUUUCGGUUUAUAUAAACCGAAUUUUUUUCCAUGUUUAAAAAUUUCGGUUCGUAGAAACUGAAAUAAGUUGGCCAAAUUUUUUCAAACCGCAAGGGGCAAAAUGAGAUUUUUGGGGGCAUAAAAGAAAGGCGGAGGGUCGGGAGAGAAAAGCAUCCUAAACAAAGCUUCAACAUUUCAACAUCCAACUUCUGGGCUUUUGAAUCAAUAUUAGUACACCUCCCCCUCUAAUUUAUCUCUUUAGGCCCCUAGUUUCUUUUACACCCCCCAUCCCUCGCCCAAAUUUCAACUGUUGUCUUGCAAGCCAGGUUCAGAAUCUUAUUUUUCAAAUCAAUAUUUAGUUCACAAUGUAGAAUUUGGUCACUAUGUUGCACAAUCUAUUCUUUGAACUUAUCCUUUAUACAUCAGCUAUUAUCCAAUGUACAUCACUUCUUCUUCAUCCAUACUCCACCUAUAUUUCUCCCAUAAAAUUUGCAUUUUUUGUUAAAUUGUGGGUCUAAAUUCUUCUUCAUCCAUACUUGUUCUUCAUAUAUAUAAACUUACACUUUAUAUAAAUUUAGUAACCACUAUAUAUAUAAAUUUUAUUAUCAAUUCAUUUCUUUUUGACUUAAUUAUUUUUUUAAUCUAUUGAUUAAACAUAUACUCUGUAGAUUUUAAGAAGUAGAAAAUCAGAAGUUAAAACCACGACCCCUUCAAUACCUUAUAUUUAAGUAUAGAUACAUUAAUUUAGUAACAACCUCAUAUAAAUAUAAAUAUAUAUAAUGGUAGUGUGAUCCGUGUUGAUGCAUAUCCUGCAAUUACAAAAUGUGACUGUGGGGGUACAGUUGUCAAAAAUGAGUCGGGUUUAUGGGUUUGCCUAUUAGUCCAUUGUCUUGGAUGAGAUGAACAUAGCUCAAUAAUAAUUAGGUUGGGUCAAUCUAACCUAUUUAUUUCGUCUCUUCCACCGGCCGGACCAUGAUGGAUUGAAUCGGCAUAUUUAACAGCUCUAUGUUUGAGGGGCAGAGGAUAAGGACCUUCAAUAAUGAUUGGUCCCAAUUUGUUUUUUGUUUUUUGCGGUACAAAAGAGAGAAUAUUGGUCCCAUUUUCGACUAGACAACCAUACCAUUCAUUUGUUGCACUUAAUAAUUAUACUACAUAUAUAGACUAUGUUAUAUGGAUAUGGAAUGCGUGCUAUGUACUAAGAAAUAUGGAAUGCGUGUUCCACGAGGACUCGAAUGUAAACGCAAAAGUACACAUCAAACCUUAGUUUAAUAGCAUGUAAAUGAGCUGGAGAAUUAGUUGUACUCACUUGGUUGCAAAAAAUAUAUAAGCUUACCUCAAAAUAAAAUAAAUGAGAGAAAUUGUUGUUAUCGUCAUCUUUAAAGUAUAUAAGAUAAGAUUAUUAUUUUCUUUCAACACGCAUAAAAUCUUUAAAAAAUUGACUAAUAGUAAUAUACUAAUAUCAUAUGUGCAUUAAAAAAUGAUAAUAAAAAAGUCUUACAUUCAAUCAAUAUACAUAAGUAAUAUUUUAUUUUUUAAUUAAUAAAAUUCAUAAUAUGCAUGUAAAAACUCACAAAGAAUGAAAAAAAAACAAAUUAUUGAACAAACUUUUACAACAUAUUCCAUUCACAAUUUUAAAGAGAAGGAAGAACAACAAAAAAACAAAAAACCUAUAAACACAAUGGAAAAACAAAUUCAAACCGUAGAAGCCUUAGUGAGUGAAGUAAUAGUAACAGCAGCACCAAAAGCAUUAUUUUUAGACUCAAAUCCAAAAGUAUCAUAAUGCAAGAAAAACUCCACCAAGAACAAUCUACACAAAAGCACAACAAGAUUCUUCCCUGGACAUUGUUUAUUAUCUAUAGAAGGCUCCUCUAUUUCUUUCCCAUUAGACCAUAAAACAUACUUCAACAACUUCUCACCUUCUCCAAUAAACCUAUUUGGAACGAAAACCUCGGCAUCAUCGAAAACCCUAGGAUCCUUAGUCGCGAACGGUUGGUAUCCAAAUAUCAUCUCACCUUUUUUAAUUUCGAAACUUGCAUCAUGACUCUUCACGAUCAAAUCUUCUCUUGCUUUUGCAUAUUGAUAAGGGACGGCAGGUUCUAUUCGCAUUGCUUCAUAAACAACGGAUUUUACUAACGACAUUUUUUCCAAUGACUGAAUUGUUACUCCGCCUUCUUGUUUUACAACGGUUCUUAUCUCGUUUGCGAGUUCUUUGUGUAGUGAAAGGCCGCUUAGACCGACCCAUUUGAAGAGAAUUGGGAAUUGAUUCUUUAAUCCUCCAUAUGCGUUGAAGCCGGCUGUGAAAACGAUAUUGUGGCAGGCUUCACUUCUUUUUAAACCGGCUUUUUCUGCUUCGUUUAAAAGUGUUACCGCUGAUGAAGAAAAUGUUUCGUAGAGCUUCUUGUAAGAAGACCUAGCCAAACACACCAUAAUAAUUUAAUGUAAGGAAUACACUAACAUUAUACAUUGUUCAAAGUUUUAUAUCUAUUUAUUAUUCAAAAUGUUGAUGAAUAUUCAUAUUUUAAUUAUCAUAUACAAAAUGAUUAGAUUUUGAUGAAUCUUAAUUCUCCACUAGAAUAAUGAGAUUCUUCCUAGAAAUCAUUAUAUAUUUGAAUAAAAAAAAACUAAUCCAUGGACAAUACAUAUCAAUGUUUGCACACGAAUUUGCUCAUGUAGAGAUUUCACUAGCAACUUUGGAAGAAUUUGAAGGACCAUACAAACAACCAAAAUGUACAUGUUAUUUUUUAAAAAAUAAAAAACAAAAUUCCAAAACAGAGCAACUGAACAACCAAUUUCUAAAUGAGAGAAAGGUGAUAGGUUACUAUUCAUAUAAAGAAGAAAAAAAUGUAUUGUAAGAGCCAUCAUUUCCUUUUGGGCUACCCUCCCUCCCAUUGUAUAUACAACUUCCAUCUCUAAAUUAAGGUGACUAAAUUAAUUUAAAAAAUUAUAAUAUAAAUUUAUAAUGCCUUUUUUUAGUUUAUCUUUCAUUGUUGAUUAUUAAUUGAGAAUAAUUUUGAUUUUUAUAGUAUAUAAAAGUCGAACUUUUUUUAAUAAUCAAACAGUUAGGAUUGAUUACUAUGUAAAUUUGUUUUACAUCGUCAAAAAUGUUUAUGAAUUAAAUCCUAAUUGAUUUAUCUUUUACUUUGUUUUUUUAAAUUUUUAGAUAAAAUGACACGUACCACAUAAAACUCACAUACUCAAAACUCAAUUGUGCGAGAUUUCAAGUUCAAAUUCAGAUUAAGAUGUCUAGCUUAAAUAUAUCAUAAUUGUUUGUUGAGUUAUGUCUUAGACAAAUUUAUCUUUUUUUUUUGUUAAUAAUAAAUUUAGCUAUACGCAUCCCAAGUGCUCCGGAUCCAACCCAAAUCCACUCAUUCGUGGAAGCAUCUUAUGCAAGUCAAAGGUAACAAACACUAUAUGUUUAUGUACACACUCUCUAGCUAAUAUGCUCCUCACAACGCUCACGGGUCAUUAAGUCCAUCUUAACAGCUCCCAUCGUUCCAAUUGUCAACUGUCACAAAUGGUUAUAACCGUCCCCCAAUAUAAAGACAAGUUUUUGCGUCAAGGUUCACAAUUCAAUCACUUUCCACUUUCGCACUCCUCCUUGAUGACAUACUGAUUUGAGCAUUGUUGUGCUAACAUAUUUUGCAGAUAUCUUUCCCACCAUGAUCCACCGCACUAGGAACCUAUCUCCACCGUAACCGUCUCAAGUCUCACCUUCGAAGUCAUCUAGCCUUGCUCAGUGCAGAUCUAUCAUUUUUUUUUUAAUGUAGAGAAUUUAAGUCGAAGAGGAUGAUAUCCAAAUUUAAAGUAGGGAAGACCUUAUCUUUCACUUAUUAUUAAGUCAUUUGUGUCUUAUAAAAAUGAUCAGAGGUAGUAUAUGAUAUAAAUAUUUAAAGAAAAUCUUAUAAACUAAAAAAUAAAUAAUUUUCCCAAUAUAGAAUCCUAAUAAAGUUUAAGGUUAUAGUAUGAAUCUCACCUUGCCAAACAAGCUGGAAAUGGAAUAGUACGAAGCAAGAGAUCUUCAAGAUAAUUAAAUAUCUUAGGGGGCCCUAAAGUUGCAAGUGGAGCAAGUUGAAAUAGUAGCCAUGUAUCAAACAUUUUAGGACCUUGAGAACCAAGGAUAGUUUCAGAAGGGUCUUUAUUAUCACAAAAGAGACGAAACAUGAAGUUAAAUGAAGCAUCACUAACAACAGAGUUAAAAUCUGCUUUACCAUUUUUACUAGCAAGCUCAUCUUCAAUCACAUUAAAAGCAUCAGAAAGUAUAGUUCUAAAAAGAGGGACAAAAGUGUCUUUUCUUGACAAAAGAGUAUUAAGAUAGAAACCUUUGAUAAGUGCAUGGCUUGGUUCAGUUGUGUCUAAGUAAGCACAAACACGGUAGCCGCCGGUGAAAUUUGUCGACGGCAUGAAUGUACCGUCGAGGACAUUAUAUUUUUCGACUUUUUUGUUGUCGAAGAGGAUCGGAAAAGAUGCGGCGUCUAAGAGUGCUAUGACUCUUGGGUUUGAGGAAAUGAAGGGACCUGGUGGCAUGUUUGUUCUAAAGAUUGUUGAAUUGUAUUUUUGGAUUCUUGUUGAGAAGAAUUUGUCUUUACCUUGGUUGUAGAAGUAGUCAUGGCGGUCGAAAAUCGGUCCGAUGAAGGGGAGACCAUAGGUGCCUGGGAUUUGUUUUAGUGGGAGGUCUUGCUGGUUGUUGGUGGUGGUGGUAGAUGGUGAUGGUUCUAAAGAUGCCAUUGUUGAUGAAACUUUUGAUAUUUUGAUGAGUUUGGUUAUGAGUUUAAGGUAGAGUUGGAUUUUAUAUAGAAUGGUAGGUAGUACUAGUAAUAUAGUGUAGGCUUGGUUUUUAUUUGAUUUAUAUUUAAUUUUUUUAAAAUGAUUUAUAAAAAUUAAUAAAAAAAAUAGAAAGAAGAUAUUUUAAAUUAUUCCUUAACAUUGACAUCCAGUAAUUUAAAUAUUUUUUUAAGAUUAUAUUAUUUUUUGUGAGAUUGCAUAAAUACUAUAUUAGAUAUGGUUGUAUUAUCGAGAGGGAAUUGGUCCCUUCCAAUCCAUUAUUCACGUGCAUUCAAUGCAAGGAUGGAGGAAAUUUGUUUGUUGAUUAAUACUAUAAAUGUGGAAAAUAAUGUGCAUGUGUUGUAAAAUUGUGGGGUAAAUAAGGAUGAAUUGUUCAAGUGGUAAGUGUUUUGAUCCUUUUAAAUAUGUGAUUAGAGGUUCGAUUUCUAGCUUAUGCGUAUGGAGAAAAUUCGGUUGAGAGAAAAGAAUCGUUGAGAGUUUGAUAUAGUAUAGAAACUAAAGAUAGGUAGUAGAUUUGGAGCUUUCAUGUUUGAGUUUUAUUAGUAUUUUUAAUAGACGUAAAUAGAAAUACUUUUGUAAAUAAUUUUUUGAGUUUAGAUUUUUUUUUGGACAUCAUCCUUUCAUUUCAAUUUUUUCUAUAAAAAAAAUUAAAUAUGUUUUUAAUCCCUUCACAUAAUUUCUUCGUAAUUUGUCAAUCUAAUUUUUUUGUUGUUUUUAAUUUUAAUAAUCUCUUCUUAAAAAAUAAAUCCACGUUGCAUGUUUUUAUGAUAUGUCAUUGAUAAAUCUUAAAAUAUAGUUAAUUUUUUAGAGCAAUCUCGAUUUGCAGAAUCAGGCACAUCGGAUUAAGAAGCAUAUCAAAUGAUUUUAAAUUUAUAUAAAUCAAUGGAGUUGAACUCGGGAUAUUUGGGUUACAACAUUGCUACCUUACCAUUGCACUACUUGCAAUCUUGUGUACGUAAUGGUUAAUUAUUUUUUUUUUUUUUUUGUCUUGUAGCUUAGUAACUAGAAAUUUCACUUUAAAGAUAAAUAAGUGGAAUAUUCGAGAUUCGAACAUCAGCUCCUACAUGAUAUAUGCGACGUUCCUACUAACUAAGUUAAACUCACGGAAACUAUAAUGAGUUUUUUUUUUUAACCAACUGGAACUAUAAUGGUUAAUUAUAACAUAAUAGUUAACAAAUACUAUAUGUAUAUAUGCUUAUUUAAAAUGAAAAUUUUGAGAUGAACCACAGUCCUUCCAAUCCAUACCUAACUCCGCACUAGUGAUGGCGGCAGCAAGGUCAAGGAGAUGAGAGAGAACAGAGAAAAAAAAUUCAUUCUAUUAGUGAGUAGGAUCGAACACCUAGGCUGGUGGCAAUUUGUUAAUUUUUUUAAAACUAAAGGUAUCCUCUGCGUGCAAAGUUACAGAGACUAAUCCCCUCGAGGUAACUGAGAUCCAUUUAAGGGGUUGACCUCUCCUAACAAAUACUUCUUUAUACGCACCGGUCAGGAAUCAAACUUAGGACCAAAUGAUUAAGGAACCCAAGUAUUUAUCGUUCGUGGAAAAUGAUACGCAUAUGUUGUCAUAAUGUGGGGUUGAAUUGAAAAUAUAGUUACCGUGAACUAUAAGAAUUUGAUUUAGUGGUUAAAUAAUAAGUUUUAAAUUUUUUUGUUCAAAAGUUUUAAAUUUGAAGGUUCUAAUAAUUUGCGGAUUAGUUUCAUAUAUUUUUUGCCGCAAGUGCAGUGUAUUUUGUUUCUUGCUUCUGCUAGUGUAGUACAUGCAGAUUAGAGGGUUGUUUAACAUAAUAAUAAACGGUGUUAAGUUGAUAAGAGAAGUUUAUAUCUAUUUUAAGAGACUUUAGGGAAGGUUUGUGUCUAUUAAAAAAUUAGAGGAGGUGCAUGUGUCAUUUAGAUCUCAGGGAAGGUGAGCGUAAUUUUCCCUAAAAAGUAUUGAUUAUAGUGUUUUUAAGAGAAGAUAAAUAUAAUAUCUUGCAACUUUUUGAUUUCUAAGGUCUUCCUUAUACAGAGAUAUUACCCUCUUACUCUAAAUUUCUCUCAUUAAAGAAAAUAUGAAUAAUGGUAUAUUAAUAUCGCAUGAAGAUUAGAUGUGAGGUAGUUGAAUUUAUUUUUUAAUGAGUAAAAAAUAGUUUUUUUUUUCACCCUAUUUAUUUUCUCGCGCGCCCUACAAAAUGGAACACCCUAUCAGAUUUAUUCUUUUUAUAACGUCCAUUACUUAAAUAGCGGAUGACAUUUUUCAAAAAUUUUUCAUUUUUAUAACGUCUGCUACUUAAGUAAUGGAAGAGUAAAAUGGAAAAGGUUUAGGGCGCGCGCAGGGACGGAUCCAAGAAUUUUAGUAAGUGGGGUCAAAAUUAUAACGUAAAAAAAAUAUAAAUUGUUAUUUAUAUAAUUUUAACAUUUUCUUAUACAAAAUUACUUAUUUUGGUUUAUUAGUCAAUACUCUUAAAAUACUUAUUAGUAUUAUAAAUUAGUCUUAUUAAUUUUAUAUUUGUUAUAGUGUAAUAAAUUGACUAUAUAAAAACGAUAAUACCAGAUAUAUGAGGUCACAUUGCAUAAAUAAUACUAGUAUUAACUAAAAAUAUAAUAGGCAAGUGGGGUCGGCUGACCCUACUGCCCCCACACUAAAUCCGUCCCUGGGCGCACGAGAAACUGAUAGGCCCAAUUGGGCCAUGUCACCCGAAUACAAAUAGGUUAAAAAAAGGAGGGAAAUCUUCUAUCCACACCCCUCAUGAUUAGUAAUUACAGUACAUCUUUAGCUGAAAAGUGGCCUAAAUUGUUCGUAUUUCUACCUAUUAGAGUGAACAAAUGUAAUGGACUCAAAACAUUUAGCUAAUUACAGCAACAUAAACCAUUUCUUUAGUUUAUUUCAAGAAAAAUAAUAAUAUAAGAAGUAUGACUCCCUUGAGUACACUUUUGACCAAUUUAGUGAUUUUAAUAUUUAUGUUCGAUCUCCUUGAGUUGGAUAUCGAGUUUUUUUAUAAAAAAAACUAUGUUCUAACCUAAUCAUAGAUGGGAGAGAUUUUCAAUUUAGAAAUGUACUACAUUUAAGAUUUUUCAAGUGGAAGCAUCCUACCCGAGAAAAGGAAAAUAUUAUAGAGGCUAUUAAGUUUUAGAUCAUUAUCCAUUAAAAGAAUUACAUGCACAUUGAAAGUGUAAAAUAUUAUAGAGGCUAUUAAGUUUUAGAUCAAAUUUUCAUGUUGAGUAUUAGAUUUUUAAUUAUGGUGGGUUGAUUUUUGUUUCUUGUUUGGAGAUUUUUUUUGGUUGUUUUCCCAUCGAAUCAUUAGAGAAAAAAUUUCCAUCAAGAGAGGAAGAUGAAAGAUGAAGGAAAUAUGUUUGAUCAUAUUAAUAGGUUUAAUGAGGUUAUAUAUAUAUAUAGAUUUAUGAUGAAUGCACAUGACAAUGUCAAAGAUGAAGAACACGUGUUAAUGUUGGCUUCACUAUCUAAAUUUUAUAAACCACUUGUGCACUUAAUGUUGGUAAGUAAGAGUACAAUGCAAUUAUGUGAGGUGGUGAGAUCAUUGAAGGAGUCAACAAAUGAUGAGUGUUCAUAUAAAUAUCCGAAAGAAAAUCACAUAUUGGUAACCAAUGGUGGACAAGAAAAAAAUAUGGUGAUUCAUGGAAGAUUUAUAAAGCCUAGAAGAGAAGACUUAAAAGUUGGAGUGUAGUCCUUCUACAAAUGUAGUUAGUUAUGAGAAUGAUAUUUUCUUUUGCAAUGAUGAAGUUGAUAAUUAACAAAGUAAAGAGAUUUUAUAUUUUGGAUGAAAGGAGAAUAUGAAUUGUGAAAGUGAUUACUUAUCCAAGUCCACAUCGAGUAGUUGAAUGAAGAAAAAAAGGUAGAGAACUAUUAUCUGGGAAUCUUAGAGUAAUUGCAGAUUGAAUAAUAAAUUUUUGGGAUGUUAUUUGGAAAAAAAAAGUUGAUAAUAAUAUAUAUAUUUUUAUCUCUCUUAUUUUUUAUUUUAUACACUUUGCACACAUCUAAAACUAAAAAGUACACACAAAAAUCACUUUUUAUGUUCAAAGUUCAAACAUCAUUUAUCUAAAUUUUAGGUAAAUUUAUCUAAAAAAUCAUUUUUUUUAUGCAUCAAAUUUAUGUUCAAAGUUCAAUAUUUUUUUUUUAUGUAUCAAAAAAUCAUUUAUCUAAAUUUUUAUUGUGAGUUGUUCUUUUGUUUAAAAUUUUUCUCAACUUACUUUUUCAACAAGAAACAAAUAAUUUUAUACUUGUCAACUCACUCCCCAGGUUGGAACAAAUAAAUAUUUGACACACACUUAGCAUUUUUCAUCUUCAAAUGAAAAUAGAUAGUUGUGUUUGCUCCUUCAUUUGAUAAUUUUUUAUUUAUUUCCAAUUUCCCUAAAAAAUAAAAUCUUUUAAGAGAAAGAACUAUACAACAAUAAAUAAAUUUCACAACUGUGUGAUUCAUGGUGGAGUAGAAUCAGUCUAUGUUUUUUUAGAGAGUAAUUGAACCAGUCUACUGUAGAAUUAUUAUAUAUUGUAGCAUAUUAUUUGGCAUGAUAAAAGAUAUAUUAAAUACGUAAAUGUCAUACUCUUUUUAUAGGAUGAAUUUUUUGUCCCCACUAAUGUGUAACAUAGAUAGCAUGUACAAUGUACUAAAGUUCCAAGUCAACUAUGUCUUUUCUAUAUACUUACCAAUUUAAUGACUUUUCCCCCUAUUGUGCCAUUAUAACAACCAUACAAAAUGUCACAUAUAUUAUGUCAGAGUCUUAUAAUAUAUCUGCAAAGCGAGAUUUGUUCGGUUAAUCAGUAUCCUCCCAAAGUCAUGAGUUCAACAUCUACUAUUAAUAUGAUGAUGAUUUUAUUAAUUAGUGGAGGUACUCCGUAAUAAGUACUUUUUUUUAAUGAAAUUAAUUUGAUUCGCCCUUGUAAUGGAUUGAGCCUGAAGACUCAAGCUCAAUCCUUGAAGAUCUCAUCUACUUGACGAGCUCGGUCCAAACUAUCCGAACGGUCCAUUAACACAUUCCUCUGCUCAACGGUUAAAGAAGUCAUGCCUUCAUCUGACUAAUGGACAUCAGAAUAUGGACAUUUACUACCCAUCAAGGCUCCUCAAUCGUUUUCCGAUAGUCAUUGAUAGUGUUGAUAUGCUCGUCAAUGGUCUUGUGGCCCAACGUCGGGAGCUAUAUAUAUAUAUAUAUAUAUAUAUAUAUAUAUAUAUAUAUUGAUCUCAUGUAGAAGAACCAGAUACAUUCUAACUCAUUCUUUUCUCAAAAAAAAAAAAAACUCAUUCUUAAAAUCUUACUUCACCUCUUAUCGACUUGAGCACGAAACACCUGUAGGUAUAAAAUCCAUCUCCAUUCACUAGAACGGAAAAUGAGCACCACCGAACUAAGGUCGAUUUUGAUCUAAGAUAAGAUCAAACCCUAAUUCCAAAUAUAAGCUUAGAAGAUUUUAAUCUUGGCGAGCUUCCGAAACUUAAGUCAAUUAUUGAAGUUUCUUGUAUAGAAAGAAAAACAUUUUUCCAAUAUGAUUCGUCAUUGCUUAGUAGUCUAGUGACGCUGCAUACAAUGAUACAAGACAAUUUUUAUGUUCACAAUUUCACUCCUCAUUUUGACAAAUGGACAAUUAGUGCUAUGGUCAACCCACUUUGCCGUCUGCGUAUAAAUUAACACGGUUAGUUAGAUUGAAUUUUAUAGUAGUUUUCAAACCAAAAAUAGAAAAUAACCUUUCUAAAUAUAAACAUCAACGUGAUACAUGAAACUAACCUUUCCAAACAAACAUCAACUCCCUAAAAUGUAAGACAACUUUUGAAAUUAUUUUACACUAUAUUUAAUCAAAUUACACCAUGUAGAUAUAUAUUGAUCAUAUAUAUUUCAAACUAAUUUAUAAAAAUGACACUAUGAGUAUGAUGUAAUUUAAUUAGAUGGAUGUGUAAAAAAAUUACACUAUUGGUGAUAGCAAUUAAUCCUAUCAUUUUAUAUCAUUUUUGGUAAUAAUCCAUUAUAAGAAUCAAGAAAUAAAUAGUACUGCAGUAUAUAGUAAUGGAUUAUCUCUACUAAAAAACUUAUUUUCUAAGCCAAAAACAUCUAGACAUUAGAAAUUAGUUAUUCCAACUAUAUUGGUAGUUCAACUCCAUUCUAUGCCUAUAUCUCAUAAGUAUAUAUAUGUAAGGGAAUUGCUAAUUUACAUCCACCUAAAAACAUUAAGUAUAAAUUAGCAAUACACACAUUUUUUAAUCGGACAAUGUAAUAUCGGUAAACGUAGGUUUUUUUAGGCAAGGUGUUAUAUAUAUUUUCUAUUGACUUGAUAUUUGUUUUGUUUAUUGCCAAACAAAAAUUGAAAAGGACUACUACAUUCUUGACUUAAAGACAUCAUUUUCCCCCACACAUAAAAAAUUAUCAAUAUAUCAAUUUUCUCAAUAAUAAUAAUAUUUUGACCAAGUGUUCGUAAGACUCCAUAUUGUGUAUAAUCACAUAAAUGUAACUCCAUACAGCCACACACAUCAUGUCCGUUCAAUUAAGAUUGACAUAAUAAAUUCUAAAAUUUAUUCUUGAUCAGACGAUCGGAAAACCUGUAAAUCCAUCUAAUAAAAAAAAAUAUUGGAUAAAUUAAGUAUCCUCUAUACGCAAACUCUUCCUAAAAAAUUUAAUGAUGUUGUAUAUUUAAACCAGAAAUCGAACGUAUAAUCUUAAUUAAGUUAGAAGAGACUCUAUUUAAUCAAAAUCCUUGUUUAAAAAUGUACACACCAAACUAUUAACCCCAUUGUGGGGAAAAGGUUAAGUGCAGUAACUGCAUUGACACACUAAUUAUAUCAAUCGUACGAUCUAAUUCAAUGAAUAAGAUGUAUUGGUGACAUAUUGAUCACAGUCGUCCGAUCUAAAACCAAUGAUUGUGAUAUAAAAUAGUGGAAAACUGUAUCAAAAACGAUAGCAGUGGAUCUAAAUCCCGCUGUUGCAAAGAAAACAAACCAAACCAAAUACACGUUUGAGAAUGGAUCUAUUCUAUCACAUGUCUCACCAAUUUUUCAACUAGAAAUUGAAACACACGCUAAUUUGAAACUUUCUACUACAAUCACUAUGCAUUUUCCUCCUACUUUCCACUUAAAAACGUUUGGUACACUUCCAACUACUUAAACAAUCUACCUUAAUUUCCUCUAAACCCCUCCCCUUUGGUCAACUUCCUUAAUCCUUCCUCUUCUUCACUUCAAUCCAACAUUGCUUUUGGUUUUGAAAAUUUGGUUUUUUUGUUGUUUUUGGACACAUGGGGUGUUAAAGAUUCCUCUUUUACAACAUGGGUUUACUCAAAAAAGUGUUUUUUUGAAGUGAAUUAGUGAUUCCUAAUUUGGGUUUGUUUCUAAUUUUGAUAAAAAUGGUGUCUUUUCUAAGAAAGUUAAGAACUUCUUCUGUUGCUUCAAUGGAGGAAACAGAACUUAGCAAUAGCAUUAGUAGUAGCAACUAUGAAUAUUCUUUUGCUGUUGUUUACACUGGUCCUCCUCUUAAUCAUUCAAUCCCUGAAAUCCCUACUUUCAAAAUUGAUCAAAUCCCAAUUGCAUCCAUAGCUCAAAAAACUCAUGAUUUCAAUGUUCCUGUUAUUCAACCUCUUGGUAAACUUCAUCACAAAAAUAAGCAGAAUAAACACAAAAAACCCACUUCAGAUUCUACUGUUUAUCCAAAUUUAGAAUCUCAUCAUGUAGUUGAAGUUGAAACAUCAAAAACUGAUGUUAAUGUUAAUGUUGAUGUUAAUGUUGGUGUUGAUGUUGAUUUGACAUCAUGUGAAGUUGUUGAUGAUGUUCCUAAAAAUUCUGAUACAAUAGAGUCAGAAUCAAGUUUAUUGUCUGGUUCUUGUGAGAUUUGUUCAAUCAGUGAAGAAUUUGAAGAGGAUGAAACAGUUAGAACAAAACAUGUUAAACAACCUUCCGCGGUUACAUUCCGCGACCCGGAAUCAAAUUACGCCGAAAGUGGCAAGCUUUUUGAUUGUGUAUCUUUGAAGCCACAUGCAAUUAGACCAGGAAAAAAAGGGUCUUGUUAUAAGUGUCUUAAAGGGAAUAGUUUAACUGAGAGAGAGGUUUGUAUUGUUUGUAGUGCAAAGUAUUGUAGAAACUGUGUGAUAAGAGCAAUGGGAUCUAUGCCCGAAGGAAGGAAAUGUAUUGGUUGCAUUGGUUAUGGAAUUGAUGAGAACAAAAGAAGGAAUCUUGGAAAAUGUUCGAGGAUGAUGAAACAGUUGCUUUCUGAGUUAAUUGUGGAUCAAGUUAUGAAAGUUGAAAGGUUAUGUGAAGCUAAUCAAAUAGAGCCUAAGCUUGUUGAAGUUAACUUGCAAUCACUUAAUAAAGAAGAGCUUAAGUUGUUGCUUAACUGUAAAAAUCCACCAAAAGAGCUUAAACCGGGAGCUUAUUGGUAUGAUAAAUCUUCUGGAUUUUGGGGAAAGGUGAAAAUUCUAACUCAAUUAAAUACUCUAGUGUAAUGUAUCUUCUUAAUGUUAAAAUUUUAUACCAAUAUUUUGUAUUUAUCUCUCUCUUUAUAUGAUAAAUUGAACACAUGAACAUAUAGACAUGAAAUUUUCCUAUGAAUUUUAGUAUGAUUAUUGAUUAACAUGAGAAGAUUCACUUCUUAGUACCUCUAGGAUUUAGUAUCUUACUCCCUCCGAUCUUAUAUAUAAGCAAAGAUUCUUUUUCCAGGUUCAUUGAAUAACUGGUGUAUCUGGUCCAUUAGUCCAUUUUUUCAGGUUCAUUGAAUAACUGGUGUAUCUGGUCCAUUAGUCCAUUUUUUCAGGUUCAUUGAAUAACUGGUGUAUCUGGUCCAUAUCAGUUAUUCAAUGAACCUAAAAAAAAACUUUGCUUAUAGACCAGAGGGAGACUGAUGUUUCCUUUUAAUGUAUUCUGAUAGGCUUUCUAAGAUAGUUUGUGGAAGUAGUUUAUAAAGACUAUAUGCAAAGUUUAUCCUUAUUCUGCUUUGAUUGUAGAAGCGCAGUAUUCAUAAGCUCUUAUAUGAAAAUUGUUUAUUAAAUAAACACUUAAUUAAACUGUUUAUCCUAAUGAUGUAUUUCUUGAUUAUACAGAAAGGUCAACCACCUUGUGAAAUCAUCAGUCCACGGUUGGAUAUUGGUGGUCGCUUGAAUAAAAACGCAAGCAACGGAAACACACAUGUAACGAUAAAUGAUCGCGAGAUUACGAGAAGAGAGCUACUGAUACUAAAGGUUGUUGUGUUAUACACUGCCCUUUUUUUUUCCUUCGUCUUGAGACUGUUAAAGUUAGACCAAUAAUGUUAUUAACAUUGGUUGUUUUCAGUUAGCAGGAGUACCAUGUGAAGGAACUCCUAACUUUUGGUUGACUGCUAAUGGAUCAAUCAGCGAAGAAGGACAGAAGACCGAUAGGGGCUGUAUAUGGGGCAAGGUGAUCAUUGUUGUGGUGCUUGUUUUCUUUUUGUUUGGUUUUUAUUGUGAUAACGGGUCAUCAUUAGCUAUAGACCUUAGUAUUUAGAGACAAGUGGCAUUCUCUAAACCCUAAGUUUGACUAAUAGAAAGGUACUGCAGCCGCUCUGCAAUCAGAGAUGUAGGCACAAUUUACCAAACUCCAUGAUCAAAUAUCGUUUCUUUGUUUUCAUUUUCCGUAUCUGCUUUCUUUUGAACUGUAGUUUCUGUUCUAAAAUUUUUCUUUUUGUAGGCCGGAACAAAGGUUGCUUGUGCUAUUCUGUCACUACCAGUACCUUCAAAAUCUGUGACUCUUGCCGAUGAAGGUGAUACAGUUAACAAUCUCAGCAUUCAUAAGAAAACAAUUCAAAAAUUUCUACUUGUCGGUUGUGUCAAUUCUGGAUCAUGUACUAUAUUUAAACAGGUUGGUUACUUCCCGAGAAUUUAUUUCCUCUUCAAUUCAUGCCUUCAUUUUGCGUUACUAAAUAUCGAAUCUUUUGUCUUAGGCCAAGCUUCUUUAUAACGCACCUUUCUCUGAAAAUGAGCUUCAAAAUAUCAAGUUGGUGAUUCAAAGCAACCUGUUUACCUACCUUGGUAUACUUCUGGAAGGGCGCGAAGAUUUUGAAGAUGAGAGUUUGCUCGAUAAUAGGAAAAGAUUGCCUUCCGAUGAAUCCACUUCAUCUGGUAAGUUUUUUUUCUCCAAAUAGUCUCACAAGUGUUCAUACCAGUAGAUUCUAUAAUUAUUCAUUACUUUCUAGUCAACUUUCCUGACAGAAGAACCUGUUUUUGCAGCCGGAGAUUCUAGUGAAAAUGUUGAUACAACACCCUAUUCAAUCGGUCCAAGACUGAAAGGUUUCUCAGAUUGGUUACUGAAAUGCAUGUUGUCAGGUAACAUGGAGGCAAUAUUUCCGGCUGCUAUACGUGAAUAUGGGCCAAUGGUGGAGGAUUUGUGGAGGGACGAGGCCAUUCAAGCGACAUAUAACAGAAGAAAUGAACUAAAAAUGCUACCUAGAAGUGCUAACUAUUUUCUAGAUAGGGUAAGGAUAUACUUCACAUAUGAUUAUUCCAUAUCAUUGAUACUCCUUUGUUCAAUAUAUCUGAAUAAUAUAUCUCUUUGGAUGCAGGCUAUUGAAAUUUCUAAGGUAGAUUAUCAACCCUCUGAUAUGGACAUUUUGUAUGCUGAAGGGAUAUCAUUAUCCAACAGUCUCACAUCGAUGGAAUUUUCAUUUCCAAAGUCAAGCAGAGAGGAUUGUUUGCCUCUUGCGUAUCAACAUGAUUCUUCUCUCAGGUCAGUUUUGUCAUUUCAUGUAGUUUUUCAUAAGCUCUUGGAUAAUGGAUUCAUAUUUUGGUGUAGAUUAGUGUUUUUAGAAAAUACUCGCAACUGUGGUUUAGGCCGCGACAUCAUGGUUUUUGAUGUUUCCGCGGUCCAACGCUACCACAAACUUAGGCUGUUGCAUCAGCAAUCACAAUAAUAAAACAUUGAUAUCAAGAAUUGUGAUACAACUGCACAACAAUCUACUGAACUCGUAAAUCGUAAUUAAUCGUUUGUGUUCUUGUGAUGUACUAUCGUUUGUGAGCUUAUUUUGUCCAAUAUGGCUCAUAUUCACACUGGUAAGUAGCGAAAUAGGUUUGUGAUAUGUAAAAUUAUACACUGCCUAAUAGAAAACUAUAUAGCAGUUACUCUGAUGUCAGAGACGUAAGCACACACAAUUAGCUUAACUCUUUGAUUAACUGUUUUUGUUUUUUGUGCUUAUAUUAAUCUAUUUUCUUUAAAGCCGGGUUUACAUGUUCUAAGCCGGAUUUAUUUAUUUCCCCUUACAGAUACCAACUAACAAGAGUACAUCCUAAAAGCCUUGGAGAAAACUGCAAGUGGUUGAACAUGUUCGAAGACACUGACGUUGUUUUGUUCUGUGUCUCCUUAAGCGAAUAUGAUGAGUACGUUGUUAACGACAACGGAGUUUUUACAAACAAAAUGUUGGUAUCAAAAAACCUAUUUGAAAACAUCAUUGCUCAUCCAAAUUUCAAGAAUAAGAAAUUCGUUUUAAUACUAACCAAAUUCGAUCUUCUUGAGGAAAAGAUCGAACAUGUUCCUCUAAAAACGUGUGAAUGGUUUUACGACUUCAAUCCAGUUAUAAGUAACAAUACAAAAAAAGGUGCUAACAAUGGAACUAUGCCUUCAUUAGCACAAAGUGCUUUUCAAUAUAUUGCUAUCAAGUUUAAGAGAUUGUUCCAUUCGCUUACCGAAAGAAAUUUAUUCGUUUCUUUGGUUACUGGAUUGGAACCGGAUACGAUCGAUGAUGCUCUUAGAUAUGGUAGAGAGGUUAUAGAAUGGGAAAAAUGGGAUCCUUCUGUUGUUAAUGAGAAAUCUGAGAUAACUUCAACAAGCAUUGAAGAAGCAAGUUCUUUUUAAUUAUAAUAAAGUUUAAUUUCUUUCAAUUAAUGUAUUUGUAUAAAGAAUCAUAAUAGUUAUGUAAAGUGCAUAGAUGAGUUUAUGAAUUCACAUAUAAUGGUGAAUUAGUGAUAACUCAAUAGGGGGUUCAUCAUUUUUUUUUUCACUAUUUGACCCCAAAUAUUUAAUUUGUAUUAGAGUUUUGUUCUUAUUUGUAAUUUUUUUUUUACAAAUUUCUAAUGUAUAGAAACAAUUAAAGGUGUAGAGGAGUAGAAAGGAGAUUUCUUUUUUUUCAUAUUUUUUUUCUAUAAUAAGUUGGAGUAACAUUGUUCGAACGUCGCUCCCUGCAUAUUAUAAGCAAUGUUCCUAUCAACUGAACUAUGUUCAUGAAAUAUCUAGUAAUAGGUUUUUCACAAUGAAAUCUAGUUAUACAGUAACGAUAUUUACGUAUGAACAUUAGCUGGGUAGUUGACCCUCUUAGUCCGUUAUUGCUAAAUUUAGGGCAUCAUUUUUUUUUAAUUUAAAAUAGGAUUUUAUGGGACUUUUUAUCAUUUUUAAUAUGAUCAAAUGAAGAUAAAUUGUUCUUUUAAUUUUUCUCAAAAAGUUGUUCUCAUAUUUGCAAAAUAUUUAUGAAUAUUGAGAAAAAACAAAUUGUUUCUUUGAUUUUUUGUUUUUAUUUUUAUUAUAACCGGUCAAUUUAGUCAAUCUCUUCAUAAAGAUACUAUGAUAAUAGCCAUUGUAGGAAUAUAAAUAUCUAUAUCUAUUGGAGAGCCUGAUAUUUUUCAGGGUUGUCAAAUAUCUUGAUGUAAAAGAACACUUUACCGCUAAAUAAUAAGUAGGGACACUGUUAAGAGUAUAAUACUGGGUCGUGAGAUAGCCUGAAGAUAUAUUUAUAAGUGAAAGCAAUCUUUAUUUUAUGAGUCAAUUUUGUAGAGUUGAGUUAGGUUCAACUUCCAAUUCUAAGAGAUACGAUUCCAAUACACACUAGUAAAUAUAUAUUGGAUAAAAAGCUCAUGUUCUAAGAACAUUUGACAAAUUCGUCAUAUCUCACUUACACUUCUUAGAAUAACAAUUCUUGAUAAUAGUUUCUAGUUUGAUAUUAGCUAGUUUUAUUUUCUUUAAAAUUAAAGCAAGUGAGGAGGAUUCAAAUUUUAGAAGAACAAUUAUUGUGUUAUCACUUAUCAAGCUCUCUUACUUUCUCAUCUAAAAAAAGUCUCUCUCACAUUUUUAAUUUCUUUACUUUAAUGUAUCAAAGAGAGUGGGAAAGUUAGAAUCCUUUAUUUAUUCUACUUCUCUAAUCUCUUUAUUCUUUCCCCAUUUCACUUCCUUUUAUCUUCUAGAAUAGAUAGUAUUCUAUUUAGAUCAAAAAGAAAAGUGGAAGAUAUGGAUAGAUAUUUUGGAAGGCAUAGCUAAAAUCCAGAAUUGACUCGGUCAGUCAGCUAUGGGCACUAAAUUGAAAUUUUACCCAACUCAUAUUGGUGGUUGAUGACUUGUAAUUUAGGAUAAGAUUGUUGGGUCGCGGGCGAAUAGUCAGAUGAUCAUCUAUACAUUUGUGCCGUCUUCAAUGUAUUCAAUGAGACUUGUCACUUGAUCAUCUUUAUCAGGAGACUUUCAAUGCAAGGAACCGGUCGAACCCUUCGUCGACCCAUCGACUCUCAUAUCAAUGUUGGGUCACGAGGAGUCAGCUGAACACCACACUUUUAUCCAAAACAUUAAGUAAUUAGAUUUAUGAGUGAUUUCAUUUAUAAACUUUAACCUAAAUAAUAUAUAGCUCCAACAUGCAUCGUCCUCUUUCUUUUGAAAAAAUAUAAACUAUUAAAUCAUGUAACCAAUAAUGAAUUGGUCUUCUUAAGCAUGUGGUUGGGGGUUUGAUUCCUGACUCAUGCGUAUGGAGAAAAUUCGGUUGGAAGGGGAGAACACACCUUGUGUGUCACACAGGUUUCCCGAUGAAGAUUAGUUAUCGCUAACGGCGAUGGAAAUAACCAAAAAAAAUUAAAUCAUGUAGUUUGACCAUAACGUGUAAAAUGUGGCAUAUAUCAGCUAUCAAUAUAAAUAUCCAUCUGCCUAAACCGACCGCGUUGGAGAUCAGAUUUUUGUAGCGAUUCAAGAUUCUCCAUUAACAUUUAUAAAAAAAUAAAUCUCCAUUAACAAUUUGAUUGGUCUUUGUUAUCCUCCUUAUCAUCAUUUUGUAAAGAAAUUUUUCCGAAAUAAUUUAUCAAAUACUAUCUCUAGUUACUAUUAUAAAAAAAAUUAGGUCAUGAAAAGAGACAUCGAGUAAUAUAUAAGCUAGAGGAUUUAUAUAUCCAAUACUUUAGAACUUUAGGUGGUCCAAUAUAAGGAAUGAUGAUCUCUACUUAAAUGAUGUGUAUUUUUUAAAUAGUUUAAUGAUUAGAAAUUUCACGCUUAAAGUGUAUAAAUAGGAAGAUUGGGGUUCGAACCCCAACUCAUGUAUAUAUAAUGUAAUGUCUCUAUCAACUAAGUUAAGUAUGAGAGUUUUUUUUUUUUUUUUUGCUUUUAUUAUAUUAUAUUAUAUAUUAUUAUAAUAAUACAACUUAUAUGAUCUGUAUUGGCGGAUGAUGUUAGAAACUUUAAUUACAUUCUUUAAUACUUUUCAAUAUUUUAUAAUACAAACAAACUUAUUUUAUUUAAUUCAUAUAUAAUAGUAAUUUCAAUAUAAAGUGAAUAAUAAUAAAUAAAUAAAAAAACACGGGAAAUAACGGUAAAACAAGUUGUUUGAGCUAAAUUAUAGACUACUUGAUUAAUUUGUCUCUUAACAUAAUUGACCUUAGUUUUGAAUAAACUUUAAUAACUUUCGACACUCAUCAAUUAGAACACCAAACUCGGUGUUAUUUCUAUCCCUCGCGGUCUGUUUCAACUUGGUUAACUAGAGUAUGAGACUGAUGAAUCCAGUUGCUUUCGCCUAUGCAAUAUUUGGUUUACCUUCACGUCUAGCUGCAAAAGCUCUUACAAAACGACCUUCUAAGUCACAAAUGCAAGCUCCAACACAAAAAUGUUUAGAUCUACAUAACACAUUCCGCUAAAAGGUUUGAUCCACGCUUGAUUUUCUAUUGAAGUAAUGACAGUAGAUUUUUAUAAUACUUUUAAAAUUGAGAAUAUAUUCAUUAUAAAUAUAUAUUUUUCAUUCUCUACAAAAACACACUUUUAAAUUGAAAAUUACUCUCUCCGUCCCAAAAUUUUAGUACUUUUAGAGUUUUGCGUGAAGAUUAAGAAAUUAUAAAGAUUGAUAAGUUAAGUCACUUUUACCCUUACUUUAUUAAAAAAGAGAAAAUAUAUUUAAUUAAUGUUUUAACUUUAGUAAUGGUAUAAAUAGUAAAGUAUCACUAAUUGUGCAUUGAUUUCUUAAAAAAACUAAAGAUUUGGGACAAAACUAAAAAGGUAAAAGGACCAAAGAUUUGGGACGGAUAGAGUAGUUUGUAAGAAAAAAUUCAUUUUAGUUGUUGUAGAAGUUAUACUAUAUAAGAGUAAAUCUUUCGAAAUAUAAAAAGAGUAAUUAAUUAGGUAAAAGUUUAAGGAAGAAAGUCAUAUUUUAUUAGCCUAAAUUUUUUUGAACAUUUUUUUCCCGUGAAAGUGAUAUUACUUCACUUUUAUGUUCCUUUUUUAAGUCAUAUGGAAACUGUUUUUCACCUACAAAACCAUCUCAAAGAAGUUCAUAAAGCUAACAUUAGGUGCAAAUCUUAAUAAAUUCAAAAAUUGGAAAAGAUAUACCAACCUAUUAAUUUUUUUUCAAAAAAAAUAAAUAUUAAUUUCAACUCAAUUAAAAUUGUUUAUUGCUUAAGCCACUAGGUUUGGUUUAGUGGUGAGGGAUUUGAGUAGUACGUUAUAGGUCCUGUGUUCGAUCCCCGACUCAUUGUAAACCAAAAAAAAAUAAAAAUUGCUUAUUGCUUAAUAAUUGUAAUCAACCCACAAAGAGCAACUAGAUCACUAAUUGUGGGAAUCAUAUUUGGUGCUGUCAAAUUAGCACACAGUAACAUGUUGUUUUCAUUUUAAACCGUCCGAUUUGAUUUUAAUGGCUGAAAUCAAUUUGAUUAGAAAAACCCAGUUUUUAAUCUAAGCCGCCCGAUAUGAAUUUAAUGAACGAGAUUAAAACUGCGUUAAACCGCAUGCUUUUUGGACCGUAGCAAAUCCAGAUCCCUAAUUGUGUUAUAAGUGCAAAGUAUUCACCAAUAAUAAACACAACAACUACAAUAUUAACAUUAUAUAUAUAUAUAUAUAUAUAUAUAUAUAUAUAUAUAUAUAUAUAUAUAUAUAUAUAUAUAUAUAUAUAACAUUUUCAUUACAAAUUUUCUUGUCUAGUAACCAAAUCAUAAAUAUAGUUGAAUAAACAAUAUAUUUGAGGGUGCUGGAACUACUUGAUGACAGAACUGACCGUCAAAUCAGAUUAGACGGUCCAGUGAGCCAGAUACUAGUAGUGAAAACAACAAAAAGAAAACAUUUGAGGCUUUGAAAUCACCUAAUUAAAGUAUUAAUAGCUAGCAAGGCACAAAUCUAUCCAUAAGCAAACAUAUUGUUGACUCAGAUAUUGUUGAAGAUUUUCUCUUUAAUUUCAUUGCCACAUCUUUCUCUUCUUCUAAACCAUCUUUGGAUUUGGAAAAUUUGGUCUUGUUGGUUAAAACCUUCUCUUUGAGUUUGGCUAGCUCCCCAAUCCAUACCUCUACCAUGGCUGACAUUUUUCUUCAAAUAUUUUAUUCACUCUUAUAAAAUGAACAAACUUAGAAAAGUUCCUUUUCUUUUUGAGCUUUCUCUUUGUUUUGAAUGAUGUUUGAAAUGAUAAUAGAACUAUAUUAAUGUGGUUUAUAUAGAGACUUAGAAAUAAUGAGAAUAUUCAUUUGGUAGAAAACGUGUAUGCUUGUUUAUUUUUAAUAAAAGGAUGUGGAUGUUUUGGAUCCUCUUGGAAUCAGUGGCACAUAGGAGGAAUACACCAAUGGGAUAUUCUUUGCAAGAUUUUAUUGGUUGCUUGUGUUACCUUUUACAUGAGUGGUGCAUAUCCACUUUCAUCAUGUUCUUUUAUUGGUUAUACAUAUUUCUUGGAUUAAUUAUUUUUAGUAUUAAGUAAAAAAAAAUUACCAACAAAAUGAAUUAAUCCAAGUGAUAAGGAUCUUGGUCUCUUUAAGCAUAUGGUUAGGGGUUCGAUAUCUGGCUCAUGCUAUGGAGAAAAAUCAGUUGCAGGAGAAAAUCCACCUUGUGUGCCUCACAAGCUCCCCGAUAAAAUUAGUCAUUGCUAACAGAGGUGAAAACUUCGUACCAAUAUCAUAAAAAAAAAAAAAAAAACUCUGUAUUUCUUAUUCACAAGUCAGUUCUUACAAUGAAACGUUUUUAAUCUUGAGAUUAAAAAAUAUUUGAGUGUCUGUCUGACUAGUCAUAAUGGUCCCUAACCUAAGUCAAGAAGGGGUGGCUAUUAUUGUGUCCGUUUCUCCCAUAAAACUAUGUGCAUUGUACGUAGUAAGAGAGCCACAAAGUUACAUGGUCAUGUAACAGGACAACACAGUGGUCUUAAUUAGAAUACUAGUCCAUAUACUACAAUUUAAUCUAGACACAAAACGUGCUUUCAUUAUAAGCGUACAAUUUGUGUCUGCCCUAAUUUGUCAAUUUAUUCAUUUCAUCUUGAAAGAAAAGGUGUAUAUGUUGUUACCAUUGCUAUGAUAUGAGAUCAUUUAAAUUUGUAUGUAAUUUGAAGUGUACAAUUCAAAAUUAAUAGUUGAGAUUAACAACUAUUAAAAAACUAUGUGAUUCGCAACACCUAUAAGCAAAACGACCACUGUUUUCACCAUGUCUGUUUCUGAAAAUUCCAGCACAUGCAGCUUGGCCUAGAUUGCUUAAUUAAUGUCGUACAACAAAGAAAACAAUAUAAUUCUAAUGAUUAUGAGGGAACUGUUGUUUUAAUUUCCCGGGUCCCAUAAAUAUCAAAGUUUCCUGUUGUUAGGGGGGGUUCGGGGGAGCUCUGGAGAAACACUGGGGCCAAUGUUCUAGGACCACGACAGAGGGAGAUAUCACAUAUCCACCAAAAAGGAAAAAACCUUAAGAGGUCACCAAUCUUAUAAAAAUCUAAUAUUCUUCUCAUAUAUAGUCGAUGUGAGACUUAGCCACUCACACUUGAAACUCAACAAUCCCCCAAGUGUAAGUUCCUACAUCAUAUAGUUGAUCUAAUACUAUAAUCCACUCUCGCUCCCCCACCAAGCCGAACCACGGCUCGGAUACCACUUGUUGGGAAGCCUGGGGAAGCUUGAGAGACACAAUGGGACCAAUGCUCCAGAACCACAAGAGAGGGAAAUAUCACAUUUCUACCCAAAACCAUAAGGCAUUAGGUUAACGGGUCACCUCUCUUAUAAAUUCACUCACACUUGAAACCGGACACCUGUUUCACGAUAAAACCAUUCCAUCAGGGGCUUGCUCUCUCUGCAAGCUCCUUUCUGCUUAAAAAAAAAAUCCAUGGAAAUGGAAUUCAAUAAUAUAUAUUUUCUAAGUAACAAAUUCACCACACAAGAACUAGUAACAAAUAUUGGUAUGCAAAGAAAUUGUCUCAAUAAUACACAAUAAUUUUGAAACAACAACAAUGAUAUGACAAAAGAAAGUCAUGUUCACCUAGCAAGAACUAGUUACACAAUGUUGGUAUGAAGUUUGUAUAAAAACACUAUAGUUUGUUUCAAUGAUAAUUCAGAGAAAAUUGGAAAAUAAUGAUAGGACAAAAUACCUUCCAAAACUAUAUAAAAAAAUCCAAUAGAACCUUGUUGCUAACAACUGUAAAAGAAGAGAUUAUGAAGAGAAAUUUUGCAUGGCACUUUGAUAAGUGGAUUGUGAUGGUGGUGGUGGAGUGAAUGAGGCACUUGCAUGAUCAAGAGAUGGUGCACAUGUAGCAUAUAAAGAUUCAUCCUUUAGCUCCUGUUUAGGCCUUAGAUACCCUGCAUCAAUGUCCAUCACAAGUUGACCUGAAAGGUAAGACUGGACAGAAUUCAUUGGUUGUGCAUAGUUGAAAUUAAUUCCAGGUAGAGAAAAAUUUCCAGAUGAGGGGAGAUUCAUUGGUAGCGGCAUCGGAAAGUCAGGGAAAAUUGAGGCAAUAGGUCCGGCUUGAGGCGCAACUCCGUGCUCAGGAUUUGUUCCAUAGGCUCCAAAUGGUAAGAUACUAUUCAAUGAAGAAUACUUCAGUUGGGAUAUGGAAGAAGGUCCAAAAUUCAUGUCACUAAAACUUCCCAUUAAAUUCGAUCUCAGAAACUCGUUGGUAGAAUCUGGUUUUCGAUCAAAAUGAGGUGCAAGAGUUUGAUGAGUUUCAGACCUUGGGAUACCGGAGGCAUGCACAUUAGCACCACGGGAAGGCAAAGCAGCAUCGUUUGCGCUUAUAUAAUUGUUGUUUCUUGCAAUUGGAACAUCAUGAUUAUGUUUUCCUUCAUAAGUAGUAAUGACAUAUUUCAUAUUGUGUGCAGCCCUUUCCACAUGUUUCCUUACAGUACAUCCAGAAGUUGUGCAUUUGUAGUAACUCCUACAAGAGAUAGAUGAGACAAAAUAUUACAUUGCAUACUAGCUUAUAAUUAUUCUAUAGUUACAAACAUUGCCUUCAAUGUUGCAAUAAUAACCGACCCCCGAACCAGAUUAGGCGGUCCAGUGGGUCGGAUACAAGUGGUGAAAUUUUUUUUUAUAGAAAAUAGAGAUUUGUUGAAAUUUCGCUAUGCACCAAUGCUAUAGCGCCGAUAAUGCAAUUAUUUGAAAAUAUUUUUGCAUUAAAUAAUAUAUCGCGAAGAAUAGAGAUUUCUUCAAAUUUUGCUAUAUUGUAGUGCUAUAGAGCCACUAUAUAACAACAUUGAUUUUUCACAAUGUGAAAAAAGAUAAUGCAAAUAAAAAAUAGUGAGACUGUCUUAAAACUCUUGAAUAUAUUUCAUGUUACAUGCAAGUGCAUAAAGAAAAGCAGUAUCAUUACCUUGGGUUUGGAUUUCCUUUGACAACCUUUUGUCCAUACUUUCGCCAGCGGUAACCAUCAUCGAGUAUGUCCACUUCACUCUCAACUUGCACUACCACUCGUGGCUCACGAAUAGCCCUCGAUGGUACCAUUGUUUGAACUGGAUAGCUCUCGUGCUUCCUGCAAUAAAAAAUUAAAGCAACAACAUAUAUAGAAGAUUAUCUUUCGAUUUAUUUAGCCAUUGCCAACAUGAAGAUGCUAUCAAAUAGAGUACAAUACCUUCUCUUUGAUUCUGAUUCAUCUUCUUCAGUAUCACCUCGAGGUGGUAAAACUGCUUGAGUAGCUCCAUCUUUAUCACCAUCAUGAUUAGCAUGCGCGGAAGAAUGCUCUAGAGCAUUGUCCGAUUCUGACAUACCAAGAGAUCUAACUCUCUUUGUAGGAUUCGAAAGCCCGGUCACAGUAAAAGGCAGAGACAUCCUUUCUUGACCAUCAAGUUUCCACUCCAUAUUGUGUUUUCCAUCUGAAUCAGCAUCAGCUCUAUCAUAUGUUUCAUUGGUUUCAACAAUUUCUGAUUUCUCAUCAUUUGAAGGUGGUGAUCCUCGCCGACUAGAAUGUGGUUUUACAUGAUUAUGAUUACCCGUAUAAAUAAUUUCUGUUAUAUGGCCGUCGUGCGAUCUUUCCACCUUUUUCUUGACUUGACAAUUAGCCUGAGUACAUUUAUAGUAGCUUCUUGGAUAAUCACUUCCUUUGACCUGUUUUUGUCCAUACUUUCUCCAAUUAUAACCAUCCUCUAAGGUUUUUGCUCCUGUUGCAUGAGUCAUCUCUUUAUGCUCAUCCUCUAAAUCAGGUUUUUGUCCAAUAUCAUCGUCGUUGAUAGAAUUUUCAGGCAAAGUGCUUUCGUCGCUAGUUUCUUCGGAACAAGAGAUUGGCAUGUCAACAUUAUUACCAUCAAUGAUCACAUCAUCUAUCAUUUUGACAUCAUUGUAGAAAUGAACUCCAUUAUUUCUAGCUGAAUAGUCAUUUGAAAAAUCUUCUGAGAAUGAAAAAUCUAACACUUGUUGAUCCUGAAAAACCAUUUGGAUGUCUCUAUGUCCUUGAGUCAUCAUAUGGCAAUUACUAGAAACCUGGUAAAUUAAAAGUAGUCAAAAUAUACAUUCAUAAAACUCACCACAUAUCUACCAUGUCUAAAUGGGAUUUUUUUUUGCCACCCUACUUAUUUUCUCGUGCGUCCUACAAAAUUACAAAAAUACCUUUAUCCGCUACUUAAGUAUUGGAACACCCUGCCAUUUUUUUUUAUAAUGUCCGCUACUCAAGUAGCGGACAGUAUUUUUCAAAAAUUUCUCAUUUUUAUAACGUCCGCUACUUAAAUAGCGGAAAAGGUGUAGAGCAGAUAGAGCGCGUGAAAAACUGAUAGGAUGACAAAAGUAAAUAUACGUCUAAAAUAGUUAACUAACACAAAGUCAUGAAUGUGUAGUUGGUUUUUGAUGGUGAAAAAUGGUUUUGAAUAAAUUUUCAUUGAAAAUGAGUUUAGUGGAUAGUUGUGUAUGUUUCGAUAUAUAAAAUAAAUAAAACUAUUUUUAUUCAUUUUUGAAUAGUUUGGAUCAAAAUUUAUUUGAGUGUGAAUAUAUAUUGCCAUGNNNNNNNNNNNNNNNNNNNNNNNNNNNNNNNNNNNNNNNNNNNNNNNNNNNNNNNNNNNNNNNNNNNNNNNNNNNNNNNNNNNNNNNNNNNNNNNNNNNNNNNNNNNNNNNNNNNNNNNNNNNNNNNNNNNNNNNNNNNNNNNNNNNNNNNNNNNNNNNNNNNNNNNNNNNNNNNNNNNNNNNNNNNNNNNNNNNNNNNNNNNNNNNNNNNNNNNNNNNNNNNNNNNNNNNNNNNNNNNNNNNNNNNNNNNNNNNNNNNNNNNNNNNNNNNNNNNNNNNNNNNNNNNNNNNNNNNNNNNNNNNNNNNNNNNNNNNNNNNNNNNNNNNNNNNNNNNNNNNNNNNNNNNNNNNNNNNNNNNNNNNNNNNNNNNNNNNNNNNNNNNNNNNNNNNNNNNNNNNNNNNNNNNNNNNNNNNNNNNNNNNNNNNNNNNNNNNNNNNNNNNNNNNNNNNNNNNNNNNNNNNNNNNNNNNNNNNNNNNNNNNNNNNNNNNNNNNNNNNNNNNNNNNNNNNNNNNNNNNNNNNNNNNNNNNNNNNNNNNNNNNNNNNNNNNNNNNNNNNNNNNNNNNNNNNNNNNNNNNNNNNNNNNNNNNNNNNNNNNNNNNNNNNNNNNNNNNNNNNNNNNNNNNNNNNNNNNNNNNNNNNNNNNNNNNNNNNNNNNNNNNNNNNNNNNNNNNNNNNNNNNNNNNNNNNNNNNNNNNNNNNNNNNNNNNNNNNNNNNNNNNNNNNNNNNNNNNNNNNNNNNNNNNNNNNNNNNNNNNNNNNNNNNNNNNNNNNNNNNNNNNNNNNNNNNNNNNNNNNNNNNNNNNNNNNNNNNNNNNNNNNNNAACAGAAAAGGUGUAGAGCAGAUAGAGCGCGUGAAAAACUGAUAGGAUGACAAAAGUAAAUAUACAGUCUAAAAUAGUUAACUAACACAAAGUCAUGAAUGUGUAGUUGGUUUUUGGUGGUGAAAAAUGGUUUUGAAUAAAUUUUCAUUGAAAAUGAGUUGAGUGGAUAGUUGUGUAUGUUUCGAUAUAUAAAAUAAAUAAAACUAUUUUUAUUCAUUUUUGAAUAGUUUGGAUCAAAAUUUAUUUGAGUGUGAAUAUAUAUUGCCAUGUCUGUAGGCUGUAGGACUAGCACAUUUGGUUCCGAAGAAGGAAAUUCAAGCUUAUACUCAUUUUCCGAAAGGUGGGGUAAAUAUGAGAAUUUUUUUUUUUUUUUUUAUAAUCAAAUAUGAGAAUUGAUUUUAUGUCACAACAAAAGCUAGAAAUCUAAGUGUGUUUGGUAAAUGGGUUUUACACGGUAUGAUGAACCGAAAACAUGAUUUUAGUGUGUAUGGUUGUGGAACCAAACAUAGUUCUGUUGGAAUUAACCUAGUGUCACCCUUAGGAUUUGAUGGGUUCAACAUUUCAACCCAUGGCGCUUAGCGCAACCCUUAAAGAACUCUAAACGAAAAGUAUAUUAAUUUGCGCUCUCACUAACAACAAUUGCUUUUGGUGUAGUGGUAAGCGUUUGGUCUUACAAGUGGUAUUGGAGUAAGGUCACGGGUUCGAAUCCCUCGGCUAACACUGGGGGGGGAGAGAUUGUCGGAAUUAAUUAAGUGUCACACUUAAGAUUUGAUGGCGCUUAGCACAACUCCUUAAAGAACUCUAUACUGCGUCUACCCUUAGGAUUCGAUAGGCUUAACAUGCCAACUCAUGGCACUUAGCCCAGCCCCUUAAAGAACUCUACACUAUAAGUAUAUUAAGUUGCGCACUCACUAACAACAAUUGUUUUUGGUGUUGUGGUAAGCGCUUGGUCCUACAAGUGGUAUCAGAACAAUGUCAUAGGUUUGAAUCCCCCGACUGAUACAUGGGGGAGAUUAUUGGAAUUAAUCCAGCGUCACCCUUAGGAUAUGUUGGGCUUAACGUCCUAACUCAUGGCACUUAGCACAACCCCUUAAUGAACUCUAUACUAUAAGUAUAUUAAGUUGCGCCGUCAGUAACAAUUGUUUUUGGUGUAGUUGUAAUCGUUUGGUCCUAGAAGUGGUAUCAGAGCAAGUUCAUGGGUGCGAAUUAUCCCUUGCCUGACACUGGGGAGAUUGUUGGAAUUAAUCCAGCGUCACCCUUAGGAUUCGAUGGGCUUAUCAUCCCAAUCCAUGAUGCUUAGCGCAACCCCUUAAAGAACUCUAUCCUAUAAAUAUAUUAAGUUGCGCCCUCACUAACAAUUGCUUUUGGUGUAGUGUCGUAAGCGCUUGGUCCUACAAGUGGUAUCAAAGCAAGGACAUGGGUUCGAAUCCCCCGACUGACACUAGGGUGGAAUUUGUUGGAAUUAAUUCAGCGUCACCCUUAGGACUCGACGGGCUUAACAUCUCAACUCAUGGCGCUUAGCGCAAUCCCUUAAAGAACUCUAUACUAUAAGUAUAUUAAAUUGCGCCAUCACUAACAACAAUUGUGUUUGAUAUAGUGGUAAGCUAGGAAGCACCGACACUCCUCGAAUUAGGCGUGUCCGUGUCGGACACGUGUCGGUGUCCGUGUUCGACACCGACACUUAUGAUUACACUAAAUUAUGUCAUUUUCCAAAUUUUUAUCGGUGUCGACGUGUCAGUGUCCGUGUCGUGUCUGGUGUUCGUGUUUGUGUCCGUGCUUCAUAGGUGGUAAGUGCUUGGUCCUACAUGCUCAACUAUUGAAAAAGGAAUGCAUAUGGUGCAAUAACACACCAAGCAUCAACAAUUUAAUAUAUAAAAAAUUCACAAGGCUAUGAUAAAAAGUAGGAAAAAAAAACAAUAAAACCUUUGGUUUUGUUUAAUGAACAAUUAAAAUACACAAGACUACCUCAUUAAGAGAAUCAUAAUAUGGAGACAAAGAAUUAGGAUCCAAGUUGGCUUGAGACUUGAAUUUGAAAGAGGCAGUAGGCACAUCCAAUUUCCUUUGUUCAUGUGUGACAGAAGUGAGCAUUGAUCUUUCAUCGGUUAGAGGUGGAAGCAUGGCAAAACUCCCAGUGGUGGGAGAUGGCAUGACCUAAAACACACAUAAAUAAAUAAAUAAAAAAUCAAAAUUUGUGACUUAUCGUUUAGAUCCUCAAAAUUGUAAGAAUCGAACAAUUUGAUCUAUAAAAUUAAUGAUCUUCGAUCAAGUUGGUCGAAUCAGUUCAAUCAAUUGGAAUAUAUUAAAAUUGCAAAUAGAGAUCAACAACAAUUUAAACAAAAUCUGAAAAUUUAUUCUAACUCAGCAUGACCAAAGCAACUUAUUGUUAUAUGACAUCUAAAAUGAAUUGACUAAUCAAUGUUAUUAAAUAUCGCGGCGGCUAUAGUACUAUAGCAUGAACAAAUCAUUAUUGUUUCGCGAUAUGUUGUUUAGUACAAAUUAAAAUGUUUUAACACUACUGUGUAGUAGUACUUGAUCCAUUCGCUAUUUUCUCCUAUCGACAAAAUUACGACUAAUAACCUUGAACUUCAAGAGCUAAUAAUUUGUAAUUACAUAAAUUUGAACGACUAAAAUACCAUUUCGAUAACCAGAAUGACGAUUUUUUUUAUAAUGACGAAAAUGACGAUUAAAUCAAUAGCAUGAGAUUAAAAAAAAAUGAAAAUGAGAUUCAAGAUUAUAGCCAAACCAUGGAAUUAGGGAGCAUGAUUGGGGAUUCAAGCAAAGCAGUUGGACUAAUUCCAGGUGGUAUUGUGAAACGUGCUGAUUGAGGUGCAGGAGAAACCAAAGGGGUUGUUGCACUAAAAUGAGAAAUUCUUGUGUUGAUCUUUGCAACAUUGUUAUUGAAACCCCUUCUCUCAGCAAUGCUUUUUUUGUUGUUGUCAUCGUCUUGUUCCAUUUUUGUUUCUAGGUGAUUGUUAUGGUGAAAUUAAACUAACAAAGAAAAAAGAGAGAGAAAAGAAUUGAAAAUGUUAAAAUACGAAAAUGAAUGUUUUAAUGUCGAUGUUGAUGGUAGGGUUCGGUUCAGCUCCAGAGGAGUGGAGCUGAAACCAAUGAAAGUGAGAAUUUUCAAGCUUAUUCUGCAAUGCAAAUCUUUAUUUCCCCCAUACACCAGUACAAAAAAAAAACAGCACCUCACACCAUAUAUAAAUAUAAGUAAAGAAUAUAAAUGAAGUAAGAUAAUAAUAUUUUAACUAAAUUAAUUUUUAUUUCUCAAUUUUUUUUAUAAUUUUUAUCAAGCAUUUUCUCCGUACUAUAUUAUACGUCCAAGUACAAUGCACAUAAAUUAAAAAAAUAUAUAAUUAAUUUUGUAUAUGAUAAAGAAAAAUAAAAAUUGUUGAAAAAAAGUUUGACUAAUAAAUAAUAAUUAGUAUAAUACAAAAAUAAAAAUUAAUGCAUCAUUAAUAUUAUAAAAUGACUUUUUUUUGCUAUAAUGAUACAUAAUAAUUAUUUUUUUACGAAAAUACAUAAUAUUAAUUACACGAUACAAUUGAGAAAAAUUAAUAUUACGUUGAAAGAUAUAUUUAAAUUUCACAUUCUUAUAUUAUUGCCUAAAAUAUCUCAAUAAAUAUUUACUUACAAGUUAUUCAUAUGUAAAAGAAAAAAAGUUUUAUACUAUCAUUAAUCUAUAAUAGUAAAACAUCGACUUUUUUUUUCUUCUUACCUAUAUAUCAUUUUUUGACCAAACAAUAAUAAUAAACUAUUCCUUCUAAAACAAAUCAAACUUUAAAGAUUUAGUCCAAUAAUAAAAAGAUAGGUCUUCGGUCUAAGAGAUCUCAAAUUCGAGUUCCGUUAAUAUCUUUGAAUUAUAAAAUUUUCUCUAAUUACUCCGGUCACUUUGAAUUAAUAAAAAUGUCCUCUAAAACAAAUUAAUUAAGUUUUCUACUUAUUUUUUAAAAUAUGAAGGACCAUUGUCAAAAAAAAAUGAAGGGCCAUUGUUAAUGUAUAUUGUAGUUUUUACAUGUCUUAAUAAGAGAGAAUGAAGCAUAAGUGUUGGUUGUAGUUACUACACAUCACAGGUGAUAUGAGAUCAAUUGUUAUGGAAAAAGUGACAUGUGAAAAAUCACAAACUAACAAACAUACCACAUGUUGCCAACCUUAAAACAACACACUUUAUAUAUGAAAUUUAGUUGGUGUUCAUCAAAUCUAUUAGCAACCAUUUUCGGAUCUCCACUCUUAUAGAUUUAAAUCUCAACAUUUAAGGUCCUAAUUGAUUUUCAAACAAAUUUAUUCUUAAGUAUAAUAUCAACAAAAAAAAAAAAAACUUAAUUACGACUUAUACUAAUAAACUUAUGUAUUGUUGUGAGUGUUAUGUCUUAUCUCUUUUGGUGUCUUCUAAGUCAUAUCACAAUUUUAUUAAGGUAUAUCACUUUUUCCUUGCUAUUGUUUAAAUUACCAUAUACAUGGAUGGCUUCACAUUGCAAUAUUUGGCCUUGUCAUAUAUAAAAAAAAUUCUAUGUGUAUUUUCAAUUUUAAAGAGAAAGAAUUGGUCAAAAAAAUUAAAAAGAAAGAUUAUUCAAUUUUAAAAAAAGGCCUUGUCAUAUAUAAAAAAUUUCUAUGUGUAUUUUCACUUUUAAAAAAAAAGAUUUGGUCAACAAAACAAAUUAAAAAGAAGGAUUAUUCAAUUUUUAACUUUUUUAAAAUAGGGAAUUGAGAUAUUGUUAUUAAAACUAAAUUAAUACUAAUGGGUUUUCUAAAACUAAGGUUAUAUUCAAGUUUGACCGUUAAAACAAAGAUUUAAAGAGGAGGACAAAUAUGAAUACAUACAGAUUUAUUAUUUUAAAUUUUAGGAAUAUUUAUUAAAAAAAAUAGGAAAAUUUAUCUUCUUAUUUUCACAACUUUUCUGUAGAGUUUUUAAGGAAAGACUCAUAGUGACUCUUAUGUCAUACUUAAAUGAUGAGAUUGCCCUUAUGAAACAAUUACAUAUAUCUUUGUAAAAUUAAUUUUAAAAUUUUAUAAAUCAAGUAAAAAUAAAAAAGUAAAUUUUUUAAUAUCUAUAUUUAAUAUUAGAUUAUAACUUUUGUAUAUUUUAUAGCGAUAAAUCAAUAAUUUUGUUUCUUAUCAUACUUUGCUGGUUUCUAAUCCAACUCAUAUUCAAGAUAAGAAUUAUAACUAUAUAUGGAGGCAGGAUAAAGCAAACUCAACACAUUUCACCCAAUUCUUUGAUCGGGUUUUGACUUCUCAGAUGCUAGGAAGUUGUGCUACUACAACAAAAGUGUGUUUUGGCUUCAAAAAUUCUAGCGUCAGCCGCGACACGGACGCUACUAGCGUCUCCAUUGUGUCUGUUGGGCGGACUCUACAUCUUUUUUCAAUUUAAUUUAAAUUUUUAAUGAGCCAUUAAAUAUAGCGUCUGCCAAAGCAGACGUUACUUAGGAGCUACAGAAAUUAAAAAUACAAAAAUAUGUUAGUGUCUAUAGUGGCAGACGCUAAAUAGAUCAAAUUAAUAAAAAUUACAGUAUAUUAUAAAACACUUAAAUUAAUAAAAAUAAAAAUAUUAGUUUUCGCCAACAAUUAUCUUCCCUCUCUGAUGAACUAACCCUCAAUCUCACAAACCCUCAAUCUUCCUUUGAUACUUUAAUGAGUAUAUUGGUAGAGAUUUUAUAUUGUUGUGAGAAAUUUUGGUCGUAAACUAUAAAAGAUAAUAAUUUUUUGAUGUAUUUUUAGAAAUACAGGAUAGGUUCCUUUCUAGGAUGAGUUUUUGAAAUUAAAAAAUAAAAAACAAAAGCGUCUGCUUUAGCGGACGCUAUAUAAUUCAGAAACUAAAAUAUAGCAUCUAUUUAGAGCAGACGCUACAUUUAGCGUCUGUCAAGCGGACUCUAAGGGUAACGUUUUAUAACACCAAUAUAUAUGUGUAGCGUCACCCAAAAACCGAAGCUAUUAGCGUCUGCCUCAUAUACAUGUCACUAGCUUCCGCUUAGCAUCUAAUGGGACGGACGCCAAAUAGCGUCUGCUGGACGCAACUGUCUAGCUUUGGGCAUUUAAGUGUCUGCCACGAUGUAGACGCUAAGCUGACGCUAAGUACCUUGUAGCGUCCAUUUUUUGCCAUUUAGCGUCUCUUUGUGGCUGACGCUCCAGAGCAGUUUUCUUGUAGUGUCUCUAUUUGUGGAUCACCGCGCCUNNNNNNNNNNNNNNNNNNNNNNNNNNNNAAGGAAAUUCGCCUAACCAACCAAGCUGGAUGCUAUUGUACAUGAGGAGGUAGAGGCUGAGGGAGAGAGGACAUCAAACUUGGUCGCAAGUAUGCGCGAGAUCCGACAACUAAUAUAGGCACUGAUGGCUAGCGGUGAGAUACCACAAGGCUCUCGUCCUUACCUUACUGUGCAACAGGUCGAGAGGUACACCAUGAGGUCUUCCUGUUAUCGUAGGAGGGGUAGAAGGGGUUCGUUUAUGCAGCGAUGUUGUGUGCCUGUAAUAACUUUAGGAUAAUAAUCAAACCUUAAUAGUCAAAGAGUCUGUACAUGUUGCGUUUGACGAAUCUUACCUCGAAAAGAACAAGAAAGGUAGUUUUGGUUUUGAUGUUUCAAGUAUUUUGACCAAGGAAAUUUUCAAAGAUUGCACCCAUAAUGACACGAGAAAGUUGAACAAGAAACCUCUCCAAAAGCUUGUCACGGUUGGGUUGUCACAAGAGACCACUCCUUAGAAAAUGUACUAGGAGAUAUAAGAAAGGAAGUAAGUAAAAGGUUACAUGUAACCAAUUUUUGUGAUUUUUGCACUUUCAUUUUGCAAAUGGAACCUAAAUCCAUUAAGGAAGCUAUAAUUGAUGAGGGGUUACUUGCAAUGCAAGAAGAACUAAACUAAUUUAAAAGAAAUGAGUUUGGGAUUUAGUACCACAACCUCGAAACCAUACGAUUAUAGGCACUAAAUGGGUCUUUAGGAAUAAGCAAGAUGAAAAUGGGAUCAUCACUAGGAAUAAAGCUUAAACUCGUAGCCAAAUGAUAUAAUCAGGAAGAGGGAAAUGACUAGGAAACUUGUGCUCCUGUAGCCCGCCUUGAAGCGAUUAGAUUACUUUUUGCAUACGCUAGUUGUUUGGAUUUUAAAUUGUAUCAAAUGAAUGUAAAGUUUGCUUUCUUAAAUAGUUUGAUAAAUGAGGAAGUUUACGUUUCUCAUACCCCUAGGUUUGAGAACCAUGAGUACCCGGAUACAUUUUUAAACUCAAGAAAGCGCUACACAGUCUUAAACAAGCUCCUAGAGCUUGGUAUGAGAUGUUAAGCAAAUUCUUGAUUGAAAAAUGUGGUAAAGUAGACAAUACUCUCUUUAUUAAGCGUAGAGGAAAGCAUUCCCUACUAGCUCAAAUAUAUGCGAAACUAUGUGAAAAACAAACUAUGGAGAAUUUAGAUCCCUUCUAUCUCUCUAACUUCAUCUUCUACUUCACACUCAAAACCUCCAUAACCAGAUGGGGCGGCCCUAUGCCAUGUGCAACAUGUGUCAUGGUAUAGGGCCUCUUAAAAAGUCUUAAAAAUAAGGGUCUCAAAAAAAUAUGUGAUAGUAGUAUUAGUAAAUUAGAGGGUGUAAAAAUUAAUUAUAUUACAGCAAAUAGUAAGGUCCAAUAAUCAAGCCCAAUAAAAAAAUUUAAUGGCUUAUCAUUGAUAGCAAUUGAGAAUCAUCUCUUUGAGGACAUAUAAUAUAAAAACUUGUGACCAAAUUUACUUUUUAGGUUCGAUCAUCUUUAUAACAAAUUUAAAAUAACAUCAAUAAUAUAAAAAAAAUAGUCAAUCAUCUUUAUAACAAAUUUAAAAUAGUCAUUCAUCUAUUUAAUUUGUACUAUCUUAUUAUCUAAAAUAUACCUAAAAAAUAGUCAAUCAUCUUUAUAAUAAAUUUAAAAUAUACAAUGAACCUAAAAUAUGCUUUUUAGGUUCAUUAUAUAUUUAAUGUAUUUUAUCCAUAUUAUCGGCCAAAUACAUUAAAUAUAUAAUGAACCUAUAAAGUGUAGUUUUAUCUAUAAACUGUUACAAAGAAAGCAAAUAGCUAUAAUUUUUGACACGGGCCUCCGAAUUGUUGGACCUGCCCCGACAAUAACCCACUUCUCCAACCUCACAAAAAUUCAAACUUUAACCAAACCUUGCCAUGUUUUCUCUUUAGACCCCACGGUUCUUUUUUCCCCUGGAAUUUACUUUUUUUGUCUUUUAAUAAAAAAUUCGAUUUCUGUUAACUGAAUUUUUCCUGAAUUUGAACUAGAAAAAAUUUUAAUUUCUGCGAACCGAAGUUUUUAGCAAGAAUAAAAUUGAAAUAUUUAGAGUAUAAAAAAUACAUGCAAAGUCCAGACAUAGAACCUUGCCUCCAAUCACUAAACCUUCAUAACAUAACUUUUCAUUCUCUCAACCUUUUUCCCCUAACUCUCAACUUUCUGAAUUUUUCGUUUCUCCUCACCUUCAACAAGGGCACGCUUUUCAUUGCUAGCAAACGACAAAGAGCCACAUCUUCACAGGUACGGUAAACUGUUUCAUAAUCAAUUGAUUGAUGCUCAGCAUUUCUGCAAAAUUAGUCUCAUGAGUAGUUAAUUGAAUUUCAAGGACUGGUUAAAUUUAUUGAAUGCUCUGAGAAAUUCCAAGAACAAUAUAUAUGUCAAAGCUUUUUGCUGUAAUUUGGAAAAGGGUCCUAGGGAUAAAGGAUUAGUCUUUAGGUUGCAAAAUAGGACUAUUACUCUUAGCCCUGCUGAUUGGUCAUGAUUUCUAGAGUAGUGAAGCUUCAAGGGGUUUUGAAUUUUGAUAGAAAGGUUUUUAUUAUGGAAAUUUCCAAACCAUUUCUGAAUAGCAAUGUGGUUUCUCCUAGGUCUCUAGAUGUAGUAUUUAAGAGGAUUGGUUUUGUCAUCCAAAAGGGUUAUCGGCGCAGCUUGUUGCACUUUUGCCUUUCAUUCAAGUAUGAUUAUCUUACAUAUAUAUAGGACCCGUUUGGAUUGGCUUAUUUUGUUAGCUUAUACAAAUAAAUAAGAUUUUAUGUAUUAUUAUUAUUAUAAGCUUUUCGCGGUAGUUUACGAAAACACAACUUAUAAAAAUACAAUUUUUGUCGGUGAAAACUUAUGAAUUAACAUAGAAAUUUAUUUAUUUACAUAAGCUAUUUUCAUAAGCUCAAAAAUAAGCCAAAUCCAAAUGGGACCCCAUAAUAUAUAUGCAGUGUUAUGUCUGAAAAACAAAGUUUGGAACCAGAAACCGGUUAGUCAGUUAAAGAAAGAGGUGAGAGAAUGGUACUGGUAGUUAACCAAGAUUAUUGAUCCUAGGAAGGCUAACUUUUCUCGGGUUAAGGAUAAUGACGUGAAGUUGCUCUAGAUACUGUGGUGAAUUUUGGCGAACCAAUACGUGAGAGUACCGUGAACUGGUACACACGAAUUGGUUUGCGUUGUUCAGGGUAGUGGAUGAAUUAUGUUACUAUGGAACAAACCGCUAUUUUCUGCACUUCGCUAUUGGCAGUACUGAUAGCUAUACAAAUCUAGCUACUGUUUUGUGAUAAGUUCAUUUUUGUUUAUCAUGGAAAUUUUCAGAAUCGUCUGUUUCUUUUAUCCUAAUUCAGUGUGAGCAAGCUAUUCUUGGAAACUAAGUGCUUUGGAUGAUUUGAAGUUAUUGGGUGCGUUCACAUGUAGUCAUUUUCUUGUAUAUAAUUCAUAUGGUUUAUUGGAAUGUUUUAUUUCAUAUUGAUUAUUUGGCGAGCUUUGCUGACUGUGAUAUAUUGAUUUGAUUCUUAUUUUUUCCUCCAAUGUUGUCUCCAAAUCGAAUCACAGGUAUAACAUGUCUGAGAAUCCAGUACAGGCCUUAUUUCAUAACUUCGAGCAAGUCGCAAAUUUUGUUCAACAUCAUGUAUCUAAUUUCAUAGGCAAUAUCCAAUCAUCAGGACCCUCUGGUAGAGGCUCCGUCAAUGCCUCCAUCAAAGUUCCAUUUGCAAAAACUACAUCUUCUGUACAACCUAUUGAUGCUGUUCUCAAGGUAUCCGUCAUCAAUGGCUUGCAAUCUUAAUUUUUUGAUAUUUUUAUCACGAAUCUUGUACUAGUGACCGUGGUUAUAAAAUAUUAAUGUGUGUGAGUAAGUAUUAAGGAUGUGUUGAGUAUUGUGUUGGUUAGGGGCUAUACGAUUGUCUUUUAGAAAGGAUGUGUUAGCAAGGUUCAUCUUGUGCCUUAGCUUCUUUGAUUCAAUAAUAAUAAUAAUAAUAAUAAUAAUAAUAAUAAUUAUAGUUCAUUAUUCCUAUGCAAAGAUAAAAUAAAAUAAUGCAUUUAUCAUUUUUAUUAGGAGGGUUGGAGGUGAUGCAGAACUUAAUACUUAUGAUUACCAUUUCCUGGCGGUAUUGUAGGAAGUUUUAAUCCAUUUAUCUCAGUUCAUAUACUGUUUUCUAUAGCUAACUUGGUUUUAUUUCUUCUAGAAAAUCAAACAAUACAUUAGGCUUUUAUAUAUUUUCUUUUUAUGGCUUACUUGAAAUCUAAUUGUUGCAUUAAUCGGGAUUAUCAAGAAUGAAGUUUUAUGUAGUGAAGGAUAUCUUGACUAGUUGAGGGAAGAAUGCUUCAGUAGCACUAGCACAUAUCCUAGAGUUACAAAUUUUAUAUAUGUUUCAAUGUUUUUAUGCAUUUUACUAUAUUUAUUAUUGGAAUAUAUGUAAACAUAGUGAUCUAUGAAGCACAAACACGGACACCGGACACGACACCGACACUGACACGUCGACACCGAUAAAAAUUUGAAAAAAUGACAUAAUUCAAUGUAAACAAAGUGUCGGUGUCGUGUCGGUGCACUAACGCAUGUCCAACACCGGGACACGCACACACCUAAUCCGAGGAGUGUCCGUACUUCAUAGAUAGUGAUUAUUUGUAAUCCAUUUAGAGAAUUUCUAUGGAGUCAAAUACUUUAUUAAUCAAGGAUUCAGAUGUGAAGUAUAUAUUUAUGCAUAUGUAUUGUCUUGGUAGGGUAAAUCAUCUUCCCCAGUGACUAAAGAAGAGCUUGGAAGGUCAACAUGGACCUUUCUUCACACUCUUGCUGCUCAGGUUUUGUUAUUGAUAUUGUUCUGAUACUAUUGAUUCUUCUCCCAUUCUGAGAAUUGGACAGAUAUUUUAGUGAGUAGUGACCAUUUUCUCCCAUUCUUGUUGAUGCUAUUGCCUGUUAACUGCUUUAGCUAGGAUUAGGAUCUUCUUUCAGCAAAUUUAACUUUGUAUUUGUAUUAAUUUUUCUCAUGGUUAAUCACUAAGAAUAAUUGUAUCAGGAGCCAUUUUUUCGUUAUCAUGGUUUUCUACCAUUUGUUUACUGAAGUUGCAAUAACUUCAAACUUUUUGUUUCCUUCAGUUCCUCAACCACGCUAAUGGAUUACUAGUUCUUCUUAGUUGAUGGCUUUCAACUUCCAACUCUUUACAUGCUGUUACUUUCAUCUACAAAGUUGAUGUGUUUUAUGUCACACAUAAUAUAUAUUAUUUGUCACUUUUGUACACGAGGAUGUUUUGUAGGGAAAACUUAGUUAAUCUUUUCCUUGUUUAUGUGGUCAACAAGUUUGAUUUUGAUGUGCUUAGCCAACUGAAACGACAAAAUGAAAAUUUUGACUUUUUUAAAUACUGAGUUCUUUUUUUUGACAACUUAAAUACUGAGUUCUGAACAACCUAGUUUGUAUUUUCAGUAUCCAGAUAAUCCGACAAGACAACAGAAGAAGGAUGUUAAAGAACUGGUAUUUUCUCUCCCUCCUGUUUCCCUUGUUAUAAAUCAUAGAAUUUCAUAUCGUCAGAAGUUAGAUCACACCAAGGACUUAUUUGAGUAUUGUAAAUAAUAGUAGACUGCAAAUCUAUAUGUACAGUAACUGUAAGAGAAAUGUUCAAGUUUCUUAUUUCUUUUUAUUGUUUGACCUGUCCUUAAAUUUAGCUUCUUGGCUCAUUUAGGCUUAAAUGCAGUUUUGGGCCUAAUAUGUGUUACGUGAGUGCUGACUUUUCAACAACUAAAUCUUGCUGACAUUAUUUUGUAUCAUCAUGGUUAGCUUUAUUUUGUAUUAUGGUUGGCCUUCUUUUGUCUCACCAUGAUUUAUUAUAUUACCAGUUUAUUUAUCCCUUACACGAAUCUCAAGUUACUGGUUUAAAACAUUAUGUUUUCUGUUUUAUUCAUUUUCUGUUUCCACAAUUUUCUAGAUUAUACACAAGUUUCUGCUUUCUCCAUUAUGUUUUUUUUUGUUUUAUACACAAAUUUCUGUUUAUAAGAAUAGAGUGUGAUGUAGAUUCAGGACACAUAUAACUAUAUGUAUUCAGGACACCAUUACAUUCGGGUUGAUAAGAACAGUAUGUAUUGCAGAUUCCGGACACAUGUUUCUGUUAUAUGUGCCGUAUCUUUUUGGUCGAAACACAAGUUUCUGUUUGUUUACUAUUAAAACACCAUUAUAUAGAUUACAACACCACCCUAAACAUGAACAUCCUCUGUGGCACGAUUGCAUCUCAACUUCUACCUAGUAAAAAAAUUGCAUCUUUUAACCCCUGAAUCUGCAUUAAUCAAUCCAGAGCUGAGUUAUGGGAAUGGACUUGCAUCUGCACAAGUCAUACCCAGAGAACUAGAAAUGCAAAAAGAAUUAUACCCAGAAAACCAUUAAUGAUUAAUCUAUACCUUAAAAAGACAACACCCAUAAAACCUAUUUCCAAGAUUUUCAUUC